GGCUCUGCUGUUACUGAAAGGCUGGAUCACCAGCUUGACUGUGUACCUCGUCAUCAACCGCUAUGUUUUCCCUAGGAAAGACCUUAAAAGAGUGUUCUAUCAUAUAUCAAUUAAGCUUGUAACAAUCAUAGAUAUAAAUAACUGGGAAAGUCAUAAGAAAUUAAAAUCUAAACAUAUAAGGAGAUAUAAGAUGUCAAGAGAGAUUGAGAAAUUGAGAUCGAAAUCGAGAUUAAGAGAGGGAGGGAAGGAGAGAGGGACCUAGAACUUAGAACCCUCUCAUCCCAACACCCCCUAAACCACCACCAACAAAACCACCACAAAACCCUCGUGCCCAUGCAUUAAGAAUUCAAUAACAUUUCCAGCGAGCAGUUUAACACAACAUUAUAUAUGGGAAUUUUCUUUUGCAAUAUUUGACUUCUGUUUCUGUAUUACCAUCUCUCCUCUUUUCUGCAUUGUAUCUGUACCUUUUUUUCCUCAGCAUAUCUGUUGGCAUUGAACUUCUAAUAUGGUGAUCAGCAUAUCUGUACCUUAAUCGAGAAAUAUGGUUAAUCUGAUUCCAAUAGCAUUUACUAUUUAACUUAGGUGAAUGUUUCCAAUAGCGUUUACUGUUUAACUUUGCAAAGCCAUUUAGAUAAAUGAGGUUUAAUUGCUCAAAGGUGUUGAACUCUUCCAUCAUUAUUGGUGUAGCCUUGAUGAUAAUGGUGAUGACAAUAUGUGUAUGUGUGUGUAAGUUAUGUGUUUUAUGAUGGUGGAUUUUUUGCUGCAUUUGAAUAUUUGGAGUUUACUAUCACUGUUGAAUUUCUUUGUGCUACUGAUACUUUUGAAGUUACAAUAUUUAUUUUUCAUGUGCUUUUUUUGAAUUUCUUGGUUGUGUAUGAGCACUUUGGACAAAAAUCAUGAUAGCUAAAUCCUACACACAGUAGGUUUUUUCAUUUGAUUCUCAUCUAUUUGCAAUUGACUAUGUUGACUUUAGAUUGAUGCUCCUCUUUGUGGUUCUUAUGGUCUGAAUAUUAGAUGGUAGAAAGCGUAGGAGAAAGUCUGCAUCACUGGUGUUGCACAAAAAAAAAAGGAGACUAGUGUCAUUUACUCCAACAGAAGAUCAUGCACAAAGACUAAAACAGAUGGGUUCCCUUGCUUCUGCUUUAACAGCAUUGCACAUGGAAUUCACUGAUGAACUCACCUACAUGCCGGGCAUGGCUCCUAGAUCUGCCAAUCAAGCAAAGUUUGAAAAUGGUGGCAUGCAGGUUCGAAUUUAUAAUUCAUUUUCUCUCUGGAAUUUAUUUUUCUUCAUCUAGGAGGUUUUCUCAGUAGUUUAUUUUUCCAUGUUACAUUUUUCCUGUUAGGUUCUUUCCAAAGAAGACAUAGAAACCUUGGAACACUGCAGGGCUAUGUCUAAAAGAGGCGAAGGCCCACCACUUAUAGUAGCUUUUGAUUCAUUUGAAGGGUAUUUUGGUCCUGAACUUAUUUGUAACAGUUGCAAUUCUAUUUGAUAUAUUCAUGCUAAACCUGUUCAUGUUUAUUUCUUCAUGCAGUUAUACCGUAGAGGCUGAUGGCCUGAUAAAGGAUAUGACAUUUAUUGCUGAAUACACAGGCGAUGUGGAUUACAUCAGGAAUCGGGAACAUGAUGAUUGUGACAGUAUGAUGACCCUUCUUUUAGCAACCGACCCAUCUAAAAGUCUUGUCAUCUGCCCUGAUAAACGUGGAAACAUUGCUCGCUUUAUCAAUGGCAUUAACAAUCAUACUUUGUAAGCCCAUGUGACCUUCACUUAUUGUUCCAUAUUCUGAAAAAAAAAAAAAACUCAUUAUCCUAUUUUUUCACUUAUAUUUCAACUCUUGGAUUGGCUACUUCAUACUUCUAGUUAUCAAGUUUGACCUCCAUUAAAAUUCCCAUUACAGAAUUAUUUGCUUCUUUAUAGCAAAAGUUUCCUUUGAACUGAGGAUAUUUAAAUCCUUGCUUGAAACCUAUUCAAUUCUGUGCAGGGAUGGUAAGAAGAAGCAGAAUCUAAAAUGUGUGAGAUACAGUGUGAAUGGUGAAUGUCGGGUCCUUUUGGUUGCUACUCGUGAUAUUGCUAAGGGGGAGAGGCUAUAUUAUGACUAUAAUGGUUAUGAGCAUGAAUACCCAACCCAUCAUUUUGUCUAAGAUUUCAUAUAGAUGUUAGUGUUGAUGUGUCUGCAGAAUUUUUCAUGUAAUUCUGGAUCUUCUUGCAUCCUUUGCUUUUCAGUUUUCUUUCACAAUUUAAUCAUUGUUGUUGCAGGGUCUAAAAUUUUUCUUCCUAAUUGUAAUCUUGGGCCAUUUAUUGUAAUUUAUUAUAUAGCACUGGCCAUUUAUGUGGCCAUGAGAGAAAUAGAGCAGGCGGGGAAAGUAACUUUGCAAUUUAACAUGUGAAGGAACGGAGAUGUCAGGGAAAUAUGAAAUAGAGAACGUCAUCUUUUUUUAUAAUACAGUUUUGAAGGCAGAUUUUACUUUAAUCUGAUGGUUGGCAUUCUAUAUAUGCUGAGAUAAUUUACUCUUUGAUGAAAUCUUGGAAGGGACCUUCCUUCAAAUAUUCUUUUCAUUGUGCCAUUUUAAUAUUCUCAUGUUAUAUUGAUCCACCCCAUAAAAGAAUUAUAUGACGAGCAAAAAUGAAAAUUGAAAUUUGCAACUUUUCAUUUCCAUUAUACUGCAGUAUUUUUGCAGUUACAUCUUGUUGGUUCUGAUUCUUCUCAUGGAAACUAUACUUUGAUGUCUGCAUCUUUGGAACUGGAAGGAGCACUUUCUUUCAGGCAUCUAUUAGAUGGAACCUUCGGCAAUGAUCUAUGGUGGACAUUCACAAAUUUGGGGUCCUCAACAAUGUAUAAGGUGAAAUUUAUUUGCACCGAGUAAUAUCAAGCAAGAAGGUAAUGUUGCAUUUCUUUCUUAUAGUUUGAUUGUUCUUGUACAAUACUUACAAUUUUCAUAAAGGUGAAGGGCAUCUCCUCUAUGUUUAUUCAAACUUAAGAAUAUUAGGCAAAAUGUUAAUAUCUUUCUUUCUUGUUGCCUUGGCUGUGCUUGUUACUACUUACAGUUUUAUUUGAUUUAAUUACACCAUCCUAGCUGCCCCUUCCUUAAGUCUUUUUAUGUGACAUUGUUGUUCUGCAUUUGUUGGCAUUUAAGAGUUUGUUGAGUUGAUAUUGCACUAACUUGUUAUCCCGCCUAAAUAAUAAUUUUUUGUGAUGAUUUCUGUAGAUUCAUGGUAAUGUGUAUAGCCUAUCAAAUAAAAAAAAAAAAAAGAGUCUACUGCCUACAUAAUGGACAAAAAUAUUGAAUCGUUGUUCUUUUUUCUUUUUCAUUUGAAUGAAUGGUUCUUCCUCUUGUUGAUUCAGUCUGAUAUUAAUGGAGAUGAUUUAGUUGUUGGUUUUGUCAAGGAUCUUGUCAACCUUGUAUUCCUGUAUUUCGUUUUGUCUGUUUAGGUCUUUGCAUAUAUUAUUUGUUGUGGUGGUGAUUGUUCCCUUUUUCUCCCCACUGUGGUGCUCUAUUCUCUAUUGUUUUUUUUAAACACUUUCAGGUGUUUUUUUUCCCCUUUUUUUCUUUCUUCCUUUUUUUAUUUUUUAAAAUGCUAGAGGUGUUUUCCCGGAAUCUAAGAGAGAUUUUAGUACCUAAGACUGGAUUGCAACUUAUUUGUAAUAUCUAGGCUAAUUAGGCUAAGUGAAGAUCUUGUUUGACUGCCACAUGGAGUAUGGUAGGCGAGCGGCUUUCCACAUUCUAGGUAGUACUCAUGAGUCAUGACAUGAAGACUAAUCCCAAGAGUUUUUUCUCAUUAAUAGGAUGUUUCUUUCAAUCCUUUUCAAAAACAAUGUAAAACUUAGUUAUAUUCCAUUAAGCUAACUCUUUCUUUAAGCGACAGAAACUUCAUUUGCAGCUUUAUUAAAAUUAUCAAAUUAUAAUGAGUUGAAUGAUUUUUGCUUGGGUAAGCAAAAUAUGCCCAUCUGACAAAUUUCUUCUUUCAGCAAAGAGAUUUCAACUAGGAUCUCAAAGCAGCUCAGAGACAGCACAUAGGUAACACAUUCAUUUUGUUAUUUAAUCUUCUAUUGCACUGCAGAUAUGUAGGAAAAUGGAUUCACAUGCCUUUGCUAACAGGAAGAUUCAGCAGUAUCUGGAGGAGAAAGUCCCAUGGAAGGAUGUAGGAAAAUUAUGAACCGCAUAGGCUUGGCAUUGAGAAGGAUCCGAGAAGUGCUAUUGAGGCUUGUGUGAAACUGGGUUCUCUAUGAAGUUCAAACCAGUCUACUAGUGUUCCAUGAUCAAUCAAGGUUUAACUUUGAGAAUUCUCUUUCCUCUGAGGCCUUCUAGAUAUGUUUCUUCUGAAAUCCACAGAUAGUGGCUGCAUUCAUUGAUUUGUGGUAAUGUGGAAAACAUUUGCAAAUGUAGUAUUUGUAGCUCGAAGGAUAUAGUAAAGUUUUCUUAAUUGGAUAGUUAAACACAGGCGUCUAAUAAUUGAUGUUCUUGUGUGUGUGGGUUUGUUGUUGUCAUUGUUGUCUUUUCUUUUCUUCUUAUUCUUUUUUUUUUUCUUCUUCUUCUUCUUCUUUUUGUUGCAGUGAGCAUUCAAGAUCAUGGGUUGUAGAUAUAAGCAGAAUAAAUUUUAAGGAUGACAUUGGUUGUACAUGUGGUGAGUGUUUGUAAAAUAAAGUUAUCAUUCUCAUGGGAGACUUUGGAUAAUGUAUUUGAAAGUUUUGGAGAAGGUUAAGUCAACUUCUUGUUGUAAAGAGAUCGAUUUUUUCCCCCUUUUUUCUCAAUUUGAUUGGAGAAGUGUCAGUAUUGUAUAUCAGAUACAAAGAAUCACUUGAUGUAAUUUAAAUUUAUCAAUCUCUUUUGUUUUCUUUGGGACCAAAAUGCUGUCAAUUUCCCUUAGUAUUUACAUAUUCUGCUUACAGUUACAUUAGCAUUUCUGGAUAACAAUUAUGAUGGUGUGCGGUGUGAAUUAGACUGACUUAUGCUCAGUUCUUUCCUGAUCUAGUCAAAAUUGUUGGGGAAGCGUAAAGGACAAUAGAUGUAAGUAAACAAUAGUGAGCCUUAAGAGCGACACUUCUGAAGUCCCCAAGAGAUUAGAGAAUCAGUUAGGGCUAGAAAUUAUUGGAUGAUGUAGGAUAUCUGGUUUGGUUUAAAGACUCAAUUCCUAAGCAGGCAGAGAUUGUUAAACCCGAAAGUAUGUUCAUAGUUAUGAAUACUGAACUUAUUUUAAAAUAUGUACCAAUCCUUUUUGUCAUCAGGGAAGGAUGUUGGGAGUUGCUUCAGCUUCACAUUGAAUCAGUUAGAAACAUUCUAAAAGGAUAACAAUGAUCACUAUUUUAGAUUUGGUUUCAGUAAUGGAGACUUCCAAGUUUGUUUACUGAUUCUUGUAGAGUGGGAAAAGAAAAUGCUGAAGCUCAUCCGCCUUUAGUUUUUUACUUUUAGUCUUGAGUUCAUGUCAGGUCAAGAAUCCCAUCCCAUUAAGCCUCUUUAUUUCCAUUUACUUCGUUAACUUACAAUUCUACUAGGUUAAAUUAUAAGCUUAGGUUUUAGGGCAGGAUGGUAAAAUCAGUAAAAUUCAUAGAAACAGUAAGCCUUUCCGUAGCCUUGGUGGCUAGGCUCAAGUAAUCUUUGUUUCUUUGUUUCUUUGUUUCUUUCUUUUAGUUACCUGUUUUCUCGUAACCUCCUUUACAAGAUUGUUAGAGGGUUUCUUGUUUGGGAGAAAAUUCUGCCAUUCACAAAGGGAAUGCUGCUUUCUACGAACUGGAAGGAGCCAAUCAACCGUAUUUUUGUACACUAUAAUAGUAUCCUGGAUCCUAACUUGGGAUCAUUUGCCACAUUUAUCUGUCUGUUGAAUCCUCAGUUGGCUGCGCCUAAGUCCUUUUAGACCUUCCUCUUCUCCUUGGCGCUUUCAAUUCAAUCAAUCCCUCACUCAUUUAUCCUAUUCUAGGGGUCCUUAAUCAUCCACUCCGUAUGGAUAAUCAAAUAAACACAAUGAAAAUGGUUGCUUUAGGUAUUUUUGGGCUAUUAAUUUUCAUAUGCACCUUUGGAUUCAAAGAUAUCUCUCCAUUAUUCUAACUUGAACUAACUUCUCAUCUACUUUUGUUGACUCAAAACUAUAUCAUUUGCAAAUGACAUGAAGCAUUGUGAGAAGGCUCAAUCUGAACUUGAUGUCAGCUUGUGGAAAUAAAGUAAAUAGUUUCUCCUCCAAUUGUCCUCUUGCUAGUUAUUGCUCCAUCAUAUAUUUCUUGAUCAAGAUGAUAUAGUUUAGGGGUUAAUGUUAAAAUUAUCAUUUUUAAAAAAUUAUAAUUUUUUUAGCAUCUUCCUCAUUAACAAUAAUACAUGAAUGGGUUUAUCAGGAUUAAAACAAACCACGGGUGUUAUGUUAACUAAUGCAUCUUCAUGUUACUUCUGCUAGUUAAAUUCUACUUGUGUGUAAAUUUUUAAGAGUUCCAUGUGCCAAGCUAAUGCAAUUAUAGGUUCCCACAUCGACUGCUCUUCAUUUACAAUUGUGGUUUAUACUUUCGUUAAGUUUUUGGUUCACAAGUCAGAUAUUAUUUUCUUCAAAUAUGAUUUUUUUCUGGUUUAUACUUUUAUUGUUGGAAUAUUCAUUUACUAUUCUCCAUCCAAGAAGGCGGUUGGCAAGGAAAUACUUUGAGCUUGUAGUAAAACUUUACAAAUGGUAGGUUUAUGCUUCUGCUAAACCAAAAUGGAUGGAUGGAAACUUGAGAAUAAGGGCUCAAAGUAGUAGAUUUGGCACAGAAGGUGGGAGGAACAAGAUGAAGAAGACCACUGUAAGGCAUUGCUUCACCUCUACACUCACAACUUAUCAGUGAACACUCACAAUAGCUGUAGUGCUGGGAUAGAAACAGCAGUACUGCAGGAAGAACAAACUUCUUUAAUGCUUGAUUAUAGGAUUUAUUCAAAAUGUUACUGAUAUGUAUGACUUAUUUUCAAGUAUAUAUUCAGAUUGAAGCAUUGAUCAUGGUUCUAGAAUAGUACACUCAUCUUACUUCAAACAUCUGGGCUUUCAGCAUAUGAUGUUGAUGUAUUGCAAGCAUAUUUGUUUGAUGUAGGAGAUACCACAGGUCCACAACCACAUAUGCAAGAGGGCAGAAGAGGGAGAUGAUCUACAUAUAUGAGGUGAGUUUAUUUUUCAAAUUUUAGAAAGCUGGAACUUUCUUAGUCCAAUUCCAGAAAGCUAGGAUGUGGGUCUGAUUGCCCAUGCUUACAUGCCAAACCGCCCACCUGAAUGAUUAGCUUUGUACAUGACAUGGGAAGAUAAGGCUCAUAAGGGUGUGGGCCGUAUGGCCUUCUGACUUCUCAGUGCUUUAGGGCGCUGCUAGGAGUAAUGCCUUUGCAAAAUGGGAAUAUAUAUUGGAAAGAGUGGAUAUAAUAUGAACUGGAUACAUGGCUAUUAAUCUCACUUAAAAACUCAAAUUGAAAACCUUGCUGCAGCACGUCCUCCUCAUAGAUUGGAAAAUAUGAAGGCAUCACUUUGUUCAUGGCUCCUAUUAUUAGGCAAUAUAUAUGAUUCUCAUCAUAAGAACAGCUCUCAAAAAAUUAUAUAUAUUUCUGGUAUAUUAUGAUGAAGAGACAAUCUCUUUGGACCAUGCCUCUAUCUGCUUAUGAAUGGCUGAGCUCUUAGAUCAUAUGUGUUAUGUUAUAAACUAGGGUCCCAUUUUUCUAUCUGACUUCAGUACAGUUUGAAUGCACUGCAAAGUAUAAUCUGUGGCAGAUUGGUUGAGUGAUGAUGCAAGGUGGGUGUGAUCGUGGAUGGGGUUAGAGACCUAUAAUUAGAGGCAAACAACAAACAAUAUGGGCUUGGAGUGCCAUGAUUGGAGUGCAGAGGUGGCUACCACUAUUCUAAGAGACCCACAAAGAUAUCUGGUACAUCAAACUCUGCUACCAUAUCUUACUUGAUUUAACAAGUCCUGAGAGGAAUGUUUCCCAUUAUUUCCAUCAUUCAAAUUUGGGCAAAAUCUAGGAUAUGGGAUUUGGGUCCCCCCACCCAUCCGCUUAUGGGGCUUCCCUCUCCACCAAACCCCAUGUCCUAUGUUACCCAUUUGUGUCUUGUGACUCCAUCACUCCAUCCCUCUACCUUUUUUUUUUUUUUUUUUUUUCUUUUCUUUCUUUUUAAGGAAAAAAAUUCAAUUAUCAUACAAUAAUGGAAUAAAAUAUUUUUCAUCAUGAUUAUUAUCUUUUAUUUGAAUCUUUCACUUUCAAUUCUUUCUCAAGAUUGUGGGUCCAUUUGGGUUGUAAUGACAUUUAAUGUCUUUGUGGGUUGGCUUUCAUGGUUAUUGACACUCACAGUCACAAAAUUACUUGCCUAUUCUAUUGCAGACCCAAUUUCAUCUUCCUUGGGGUUAGAUUUUAAAAUUUACUUAGUUGGAAUUCCAAUUUAAAUCCAAACUCCAUAUGUAAAAUUUAACAGUUGGAAGUUAUUAAUGAAAAUUUAUGUGAUUCCUUAGAAAUUUCAAAAAAUGCAUAAAGCUAUAUGAAUUAAAUAAAUGGUAUAUGGUUGAAUUUGUAACCCAAGCAUGUCUUGCAUUCAAACCAAUGAAUGAGGUGGAGAACCUACUCAAAGCUCAGAAUUGGCAACUAUUCAACAUGAGAAGAUAAUUUGAGAACAAAGGGAGAUUGAAGAUUUAUUAAUUGUUAAAAAUUUAACUUUACAAUUUUUAUUUUUAUUUUUAUGACAACAACCUUUAAAAGGGUCAUUUCAAAGUAUGAUGGGAUGUCUCUCCAUCAAGGUGUGUUUCUCAUUAAUAAUAAUAAUAAUAAUAAUAAUAAUAAUAAUAAUAAUAAUUAAUAAAUAAAUAACUAAAUAACUCUUAAAAGGAUCAUUUUAAAGUAUACCCAUAUUUCCAAGAAUUAAAGGUUAAAUUAUUUAAAAAAAAUAGAAAUAUAUUUAAUUGACACAUAUUUUACUUUUCAUCUCAAAAAAUACAAUAGUAGUAUACACCAAUUAAAUAUUUUUCUAAAAAUAUUUGAAACUUUAUUCUAAAAAGAAAAACCAGAAUAUUCCAAAAUUCUAUUUUACCAACAAAAGUGAAAGCAUAAAAAGUAUAUUCAAAUAACAUCUAAAUAUUACCUUAAUCGAACAAGCCUUAAAUUUUAAAAUGCCUUCUAAUAUAUAUAUAUAUAUAUAUAUAUAUAUAUAUAUAUAUAUAUAUAUAUGUUUUUUUUUUUUUUUUUUCCUCAAGAGAUAAGGUGGAUGACUAGAUAAAAAAUAAGGACCCUCGAACUUCCAAGUAGUUGAUGUCCCCCAAAAACAAGAAACCAGAACUUUAGAGGUAGCUUCUGCAACAAGAACACACCUUUCUAGUGUCAUUUUCAUUUUAAGUUUCCACACAACAGUAAUAAUAUAAGGAUAUUCUCUCUGUAUUCCUCUUUUACCAUUUUUUACUAUGGCCCAUUCACCUGCUCUUUGCUAUGUUGCCAUAUGUCAUCAUAUAUCUGUGAGUCCACCGCCUCAUUCACAUAUAUAUAUACUACUUCGAUGUGUAGAGCUUACAGUACUCCCCCACAUUUACUUUCCACCCAAUCCAAUCUUCUUCACAUAUGGGUAGUUUAGAGGAGGAGAUGUUGGUUCAGAUGGUCCAUGAUUUCAUUGAGUCAGAAUCUGCAACGCCCCUUUGCUCUUCCACCUCUGAGAGCCUAAAUCCCGAGCAACUGCAGUCCAAGUAUUUUACUUUACUGGUAUGUUUCAUGUGUUCAUGUUGUUAAUUUUUGUAUAUGUUUCCCGAGCUGUACGCGUUGAUUUUGAUGAGGUUUUGCAAUCUUGUGUGGUUUAUUUUAGGAGGUUUUGAGGAGCAGGACAGAUGCUGAGAGUGGGGUUCUUGAGAAGGUGGUGAGGCAUAUGAGAAACAAGAGGGAUGCGGACAGGAGUAACAGUUUGAAGAAAUGGUUUGUCAGGAGGCUGAAAAUGGAUGGGUUUAAUGCUUCUCUUUGCCAAACGUCUUGGCCUACUACCUUGGGUUGUUCUGCUGGUGAGUCUCUCUGGUAGUCAUCUCUUCCUGUGAUGACUACCCAUGUUAGAUUAUGGGUAGUACAAUAUCUUUUUUCGUUUUUUUUUUUGGGUCCACCUGAAGCUGAUCAUCAUGUAUUCUUUUGGUGACAACAGGUGACUAUGAAUACAUUGAUGUUGUAAUGAAAGGCGAUAAGAGUAGUGGUGGUGGUGGUUCAGUGAGAAUAAUAGUGGACAUAGACUUCAAGUCCCAGUUUGGAGUUGCGAGGCCAACAUCAGCCUACACACAGCUCUCUGAGGCGCUCCCAUCAAUCUAUGUUGGGAAUGAAGACAAACUUGAUAGGAUAAUCAGCAUCCUAAGCUCAGCAGCAAAGCAAUCACUGAGAGAGAGAGGGCUUCACAUACCCCCAUGGAGAACAGACGCAUACAUGAGGGCCAAGUGGCUCUCAGACUGCCACAAAGUACCAGCUCCUCAUCAUGCCAUCGCUUUUAGCAGAGAAAAUGGAGAAGCCAAGAGUAGUGCACAUGGCUCCUCUAAGCCCUCAAAGUGGGCACCUCCCAUGGUGAAACCCAAAACAAGGGAUUUGGGUGGUGAGUCUGCCUUGUCUAGUCAAUUCUCUAACUUGGGCAUCAACUGCUGCUAACCUUCCAAUUUUGCCACCACUCAGUCUCAGACUCCAUUUUUUUGGUCUUUCCUUCUUGAUGUUUUUGCACUGGAAUUUUCUUUUGCUCAACUACUUGGCCAUCAGAUCUUUUUCUUUCUCUACUGAGACAUGAACAAUGCAAUUAACCAUUUUCAAUUUUUUCUUUCUUGCAUGGUUUAUUAUGAGAUUGAUUCCAACUGCUACAAAUACUUGCUCACUAUCCAUCACUUUCAUUCUUCUAAACCAUCAAAUAAAAACUUUACUAAUGAAAAUUUUAAUUACUUGCGUAUCCAAAUAGCUUAAGCUUUCUAUAAUUAACUAAUCAAAGUUUGAUAAACUUGAGAUCACAGUCUGAUUCCCUUUGAUUAAUUGUUUUAUAGAAUAAUAAUCACCAGGAUGACACAUGUCUAUGCAAUUGAUUGUUUCCCUUGAUUUAUAUUUUCCUUUCCCAUCCCUCUUUAAUGCAGAUGUGCUAGCUUUGCAUGACCUCACUUCCCUAUAUCUACAUAAAUGUGAUGUUAAAAAUAAAUUAAAUAAUAAUGUUAAUACCAUAUACAACAACCUUUUCUCUUUCUUUCUUAUCCAAUUUUUGAUGGUAUAUUCUUUUCUCAAAUCCCCAAUAAUAAAAUUUAUAUUAGCAUAAACUUAUUUUCCUCAUUUUUUUUAUCCACCUUUAUGAAAUAAUUUCAUCCUUGUAUGGUAUCAUAAAAGGGUUUCUUUUUUUUCUUAAAAUAAAAUAAAACUUACUAAAAACAAAAUAGUAGUGAAUCAAUCUUCUUCAAGCUUACUUUAUAUCACUUUUUCUUCACACAUGCAUGCAUAGUAAGAGCGACACUUGUACACAUAGUAUGAAAAGGUGCACAAUUUAUUAAAAAGAUAAGGAUUUACAUCAAAAAAAUCUAAUGACACAUUUGGUAAUUAUUUUCGAAAAUAGUUUUUUGUUCUUCAAAACAAAAAGUCAGGAAAUCGAGUUUGACAAUUAAAAAUUAUUUUCUAUUUUCUAUUCUUAAGAUUAGAAAACAUGAUAUUUUUAUAAAACACCUUUUAAUUAUUUUCCAUUGUUAUCACUUAUUUUUUAAAUAUUAUUUUAAAAAAUAAUUAUACAAAUAUAUAAAAUGAUUAAAAAGUAAAACACUACAUAUAAGAAUAAUUUUUUAAAUAUAUUUUAAAAUGUUAAAAACAUAUUAAAAAUAAUUUAGAUUUUUAUACAUAUUUUUGUUUUACAAAACAUUUUUUCAAAACUGAUUUCGAAAAAGUUGGUCGGCCUAAAUUUCCUUUCAUGGGGGUAGAUUCCUUCCUUCAACAUAUGGUGAAUAAUUGACAUGCCAAUGAGCAGCCUAAUGUCCACUAUUCCUUUAAAAAAUUUCACUAUUUUAUAGUGUUAUGAUUGAAUUCUGAUUGGUUAAUAAUAAACAAGUAGGCACUAAAAUAUGUUGCAGAUAAGUUUUGAUGGGAUUUGAUUGGUUGGGUUAGAAAAAUGGUUUAAAAAAGUUGAAUAAAGGAUGAAAAAUUAGGGAGGCAUUUUUGUUUUUUGGUACAAUGAUUGAUGAGCAAUUCAAGGUAGAUUCUUUGUCUGAUCCCAGAAAUGAGAAAAAGGGUGUGGAAGGGCUGAGAAGGUAAAAGAAGAAUAUAAUUUGAAGCAUAUCCAAGUGUGAUGUAGACAUGGUAGGGAAAAACCAGCGUGGGAAAGGGUAUUUGGAAGGAGAAACCAGUGGGUGCAUGAAAACAAGUGGCAGAAAACUAGGGGGGCUAUGGGGGAAAGGAGGCUUCCCUAUUUAUAUUUACACAUCAUGUAUGUCCAAAUAAACACUAGUAAUGCUCUUGUCAUUCCCACCUUACAUUUGUCCAUUCUUGAUUCUGUCUUUUUCCUCCAUAUUACAUUCCAAAAUCGCAACUCCCACCUCCUUUCCAAGUGGGUAUCAAAAAGAAUCCCGGCUCAUUGUAUUAGAAAGUGUGAUUAAUUAUAUAGAGAGAAAGAUAGAGUUUUAUUCCUUUUUAUUAAAUUUAAUCUUAUUACUUUAUACUUUAAUAUUAUCAUUUAUAUUGCUUUUUGUCUAUAUAAUGCAUACAACUUUGAUUGUUGGUUGGACUGGUUCGAUGAUUGGGACCCAUUUGGUACCCUAAAAUUUUUCAAUCAAAUAAAAUGUCUAAAAAAAUAAAAUAGUUCGUGUGUUUGCCAGAUUGAUUAAAAAGAUACUGCACUCAGAUGUAGUUUUAUAAAAAAAUUUAAACCUUUUACAUUUUGUAUAAAUUUCAUUGAAUUCAAUAUACAAAUUGCAUAGUUGAUGAUGUAAAUAGAGUUAAGCUUUAUUUGAAUAAGCUCCACAAGCUUUUUAUUUUUCUUCUUAAAACUUUGAAAGAGCUUCUUAUUGUGUCGUAAUUUUAUUAAGAAAACUUAUAUGUUUUUAGUAAAAUAAAUAAUAUUAACGAUAUCACUUUUAUAAAAUCUAUUUAUUAGCUUAUGAUGAAAGUAAUUUCAUUAUGAAUUAAGAAAUAUUUUGGUCAAAAGCAUAAAAUAAUCUCUGCAUUAAAAAUAACUCUCAUGUUUUUAAAUAUUUUGGUCAUCUUUCAUAUUUUAAAAAGUAUUUAGGCUGAUUUUCUAAUUUAUUGAUAAUUUUAUCUCUUUAUAAACUUUUUAUCUUAUUAAUAAAUUUUAAUUUAUUAGAAAUUAAAAAAAGAAAUUAAUGAGUGACCAAAAAUAUUUGAAUACAAUAUACUUAAUUAAAAUAUAAAUAACUCUUGCCAAAAAAUUCUUUUUUUUAAAAGAAAAUUCUUUAUUUUAAAACUUCCAAAUUUUUACAUGGGACUAUGCAAACUUUUGAAGGAUCUUUUAGUAAAAAUAGUUAAUAAAAAUUAACAAGAUUUAUUUAUUUUUAAAAGUCUUCCAAAAAUUUUCUUUUAAAUUUCCUUUUAGAUUUAUUUAAACUAAUAAGACUUUUAUUUUUAUUUUUUAUUUUUGUUCUCACAGGAGUUUUUGAAUUUUAAUUUAUUUUAAUUUUUAAUAUUUUAUUUGUUUGCAUUAAUUCAUAUAUGGGAAAUAAUAUGUAUAAUUUUACAUGCUUUUAUUUUUCUUCCAAUAUUAUUUUCCACCAACAUUUUACCAUAAUAAUAUAUAGAAUUAUGUUUUUUAAUAACUAUAUUUGAAAUUGAUAUUAUAAUUUGAAAAAAAAAUUAAAAUGUAAUAAUUUUUAUUUAAAAUUUUUGUUUGAUUUCUCAAUAGUAAAAUUACUCCCAUUAAAAUUUAAGUGGAUGCAUGAAAAGUGGAGAAAUAUAGAAUAAAAAUUGUUGGAGUGGAGCCAUGUAGCCUGGUGGCUUUGAAAUUUAGGCUCACUAAUCACUGAUGUUGGAAUAAUGGGAUAUGAAAGAUAGGGAUUUGAUAUAAGAAAUGAUGGGGAUUAUGGUUAAAAAAAUGUAGAGAUUAUAAUGAUGGGAAACUUGAAAUUUAGGAAGUGAUUAAAGUAGUUCAAUUUCAUGCACUUUCUUAGGUGUAAUAACAUAAUAAUUGGUGAAGCGACCAAAUUUUGACCAUGGACCCACCAAAUUAAAUAUGAUCGACAAGUCACCACCUUUGAGUCUACUCCAAUUUCAGACAGUUUUUUUGGGGUAUAUUUUCACUACCAAGAGAAUAAAGUAGUGACUGUGGACUUGGGUUUGUUUUAUAUGGGGAAUAAGCCUUUUUUUCUUUAUUAUUAUUAUUAUUAUUAUUGUUAUUAUUUUGGCUUUUUACAUUUUUAAUGUAUUUAAUUUAAGGUGUUGAAUGUGUUCCUCCAUCAAAUAUGUGAUCAUUUUUAUAUAAAAAAGAAAGGAACUUUUAUUAUUAUUAUUAUUAUUAUUUAUGGUUAUAAGAUGCUUUAAAAUAUUUUAAAAUUUUGAGGUAGUAAAGCUUUUUGAAUAUGAAGGAUUAAAAAAAAGUGUAAAUUUUUAAAUAAUUUUAUUUUAUAUAUAUAUAUAUAUAUAUAUAUAUAUAUAUAUAUAUAUAUAUAUAUAUAUAUAUAUAUAUAUAUAUAUAUAUAUUUCUUUUUUAUGCAAAUUAAAUAUAUAUGCUAUUUUCCUACUUAUUUUCUUCCUCUAAUAAGCUUCAUGAUUCAAAUUAAGAUUUAAAAGUGAGAUAAACUAUAAAGUAGAAAAGUAUGAAUUUAAUCAAAAGAAGAAACCAUUUCCAUGGGCUUUGCCUUGAAGCUUCAAUGUAGACUCGAAUACCACUCAUUUAUUAAUAAUUGUAUCAUAUUUUUUUAUAUGAACAUAACUUAUUGUAUAAAUAAUAAGGCAUGAUUUGUGUAACACAUUUAAUAAAUAUGUUAAAUAGGUUUUGAGAUACAUGGACCACCACAUUACCAACAAGGUAUGAUUUGUGUAACAUGUUUAAUAAAAAUAUGUCAAAUAAGUUUUGAGAUAUACAUACCACCACAUUAUCAACAAGGCAUGAUUUGUGUAACAUAUUUAAUAAAUAUGUCAAAUAGGUUUUGAGAUACACGUACCACCAAAUUGUGAUAACGUGAAGGUCGAGGACAUGUUUUCCAAGAACUUGGAUCUCAAACUUCUAGAUAGCUCUUUUAGGAUUCCACUUUGCCACAAAUCUUUAAUCGUUGGCCCUACCCAUUUUCUCCAUGAAGUUGUGCGCUAGAAAAGUCCCUUAAAAUGUGGAACAAUGUUUUGUAUAAUUAUGAGAAAAGAAUAUAAAAGAAAAAGGGAGAGCAAAUGAGAAAAGAAAAUAAAAGAAAAAGGGAGAGCAAGGGGACUUUUGGAGCUAUUACGGUUUGUUUGGUUGCUAUUUUUGAAAAUUAUUUUAAAAAAUAGUUUUUGAGAAUAGUUUUUAAAAACAGUUUUUAUAUUUUUAAGAAAAAAAUAUAUAUUUGAGAACUGAAUUCUGAAAAAUAGUUUUUAUUCUAAAAAAAAACACAUAUUUUAUUGAAUUAAUAAUUUUUUUUAGAAUAAGUAAAAAAAAAGCAUGUUUGAAAAUUAUUUUUUAAUUAAUAAAAUAUUUUCUUCUAUUAACUUGAUAAUAUAAAUAUAUAAAUAAUUUUUAUAUACACAAUUCAUUUAAAUUAAAAAAAAUUAUUUCAUUUUGAAAUUUUUACACUAGUUAUAAUUUUUUUAACCAAAUGAUGACUUUGUAACUAUGUGUAAGUAUAUUAAUUUUAAUAAUUAAAGGAAGAAGAAAAUGUUUAUAUGUAGGGAUGGGGGUGGGGGUGUGGUGGUUGGGUGAAACUCACCUUUGUGGAAACACAAAAAACAAGUAGGAAAACACAAAAAGAAGAAAUAAAAAACAUGAAAAACAAUAUAUUCUAUGAAUAGUGAAAAAACAAUGAAAAUAUUUUUUUAUUGUUAGAAAAAAAGUGGAUUUUGAGAAUACGAAAAACACAAAACAAAAACACAUCCCUUUCCCAAAACAAGUUUUUUGUUUUCAAGAACAAAAAAUAAUUCUUGAAAAUAGGAACCAGACCCUACAUUUUUGGCAUUCCUAGUAGAAAGGAUAAAGUGGAAGCUUUCAACGUUGUUUAGAAGGACGUGUUAAAGAUUUCAUGUAGGUUUCAACCCAGAGUAAUCCAUUUCAUUACUUACAAACUCAACUAGGGCAUCAAUAGACUCAAUUUGAGUAGUAAGUUCAAUCACUUCAUCAAAGGAAUGAAGCUUCAAGCAAGGAUGAUAAAUAUCUAAGGUAGUAGUUAAGUGUCAGAUGAUUUAUGUCGCUAUUAGUUUUAUCAAUGCUACAUGUGAAGCAGAGGUGAUCACAUCAAGGGGAUUCCCCACCCCUUAGUUGAAGAAGAUAAAUUGGUUUGCAAUGAGAUGAUUUGCUUAUUUAAAGAGAAAAAUAGUCAAGAAAUAUAACUUAAUUAGCUCAAGACAAUAAUGGAUGAUAUUAGUAGCCCUUUCUUCAAGGAGACAUUGGAAGUUAAAGAGCCUACCACCUAGGUGUAUGUUUCUAAAGUUUCAAAUGUACGAUAGUAUGUUUCUAAAGACAUUGGAAGUUUAUUAUUGCAACCAAUACAUAAAUAAAUAAAUAGCAAUCAAGCAACUGAACUAAAUAAAAAAGAACCAGUAUGCUCACUUAUAUAUAUAUAUAAAAGAACAAGUAUGCUCAAGAAGGAAAAUCCACCAACUCCCAUCAUAAGUUAAAACAAUAGAUCCAAGACUUCGGGUUGGCUUUUAAUAAGCUUAAUGCUAUAUACUCCUCAUUCCUUUAAGGAACUAAAUAAGCUAUUAAACUUUUAUUAGUUGUGUUGGGAAUCUGAGAUUAUUUUGUUAUUAAGCAUUGGAUUAUUAGGGUGUCUGCAAUCCUAUCUUAGGUUUCUCUAGUUCUAAGCACAACAAAAAACUUGGUAUUAAAAACCAAAAUAGAUACCAAAGAUCUAGAGAAUAGCCUCAUAACUAUAAUUUGGAUGUUCCCAGAUUAAUACUUGGUCAUUUAGAAAGCUCUAAAUUUGUAGAUGAUCUCGUAAAUAAAGAAGUCUUCUAUCCAAUAACUUCUCCUUAAGUCGAGGCAUAGAGAUGGUGGAAAUCUCUAGGUUAGAGACUAAAGUUCUUUCUCUUGACUGAAAAGAGAGAGUGGCAAGAUUGAAGCCCUAAUCCCUAAGAGGGGUAUUUAUAAGUUUCUUACUAAGCUCAAGUGACUCAAGCCCACCAUGGGCUUAGGUCACUUAGUCUAGCCUAAAAAGAUGUUAAUUGUUUAAUUAACCUAACAAGACUUCAAAAUUAAUUCAAUCUAGAGAUACCGUUCAUUUGCCUCUAUGCAACCUUCUAUAAUUAACAAAAUGCUCUUAUGCACAUAAAUGAACUAAAAACUCACCCAACCCUUAUAAACCGUAUCAUCAAGGACUAUGAGCUUGAAUGGGGAUUAUUGAGACCCAUAGGACAGUAUCGGCUCCCUCAAAAUUCAUUUAUGAAAUUAACUCAAUAUCUUACUACAAAUAAUCAACUACAUAUCAGUAUUCUACAUAUAUUAUAAUGAAACACCAAGUGUUCGAGUUCGUGACCUAUUAUCCAUUAUAUACAAUCUCCCCAUGAACUGGUAUUUGUAAUUUAAUAAGGUGAAAACUAUUAGUCUCUCAAGAUUACCUUUAUCAUCCUUGAGUUAUAGCUAGGUUCUCUAAUUAUGUGAUCAAAUGACAUACUCUAACUCACUAAGAGUAUAAGACAAAUUCCACAAAAUGAAUUACUACGAACCCAUAAAUUUCAUGAUCACACAUCCUUAAAAUCACCCAAUAGGACACAUUGUCUCAAAGUCUAUAACAUAUCAUGGUGUUUCUAUUAAGAAUACAUGUUGUUACUGGCUUUCAUCAUAAUCACCCAAUUCAUAUGGAAUAUUUGAUCACUUUAAGAUCUCACUAGUAGAUCAUUGCUAAGUUUGGCACAAAAUCAAUAUUUUCUCAAGGUUGAGAGAUAAGACAAUGUAGCAGCUUGGUGAAGUCAUGACUAUCCGAUAGUCUUAUAUCAUGACUUACCAUAGGUUCUACCCAAUGUGUAACCAUACACACUAGUACACUCACUAUGGGAACCCUAUCUUGAUGCUCAAGACUAGCUAUCCCUCCAAUUAGGAGGUGGUGUACUACAACCUUAAAUGGAUUGCCUAAAUCCACAAACCAGUUGUGAACAAAUCAUCUACAUGCAAAGAACCCAUGACUUGGAUCUUUCAUGCAACUCCUAAUGCACCCAAGUCAUAUACAAUGCAAGAGUUGUUAGGUUAUAAUGCUUAUGGAGUAUAAUCCAUGUAAUAAGGAUAGAUAAAAGUAAGACUAGAAUAUCAUUAAAUGAAUAAUUAAUUCCAAAUAUGUUACAUCAUGUUAAGGAGAAAGAUAGGGAUGAUAUUGUGCAUAGCAUCACAUUCCUAGACAUCCCAUAGGUGAAUAUAAGAUUUCAAAGCAUGUUAUUAGGAUGUACCUCCACAACGAGAAAUUGUAGCAAUUUUUAGCUAAGGAAAAAGAGAGGAUUCCUGAAGUUCAAAAGAUAGUGGAUAAUGUUGGGGAUGUCCCCACCCCCCCUCCCUCCAACCCCUCCAUCUAGAACAAAUCAAUUUUAGUUAUUCAUGAUGGCAAUAGAGGAUUUCAUUGUUAGCAAAUGACAUCUAUAAGAGGCUAGUCAAGUUAGAAUCCAUCAAUUUGGACUUUGCCAACUCUAUCAAGGAGAUUUAAUGUUAUGCUAUUAUGAGGAAGAUAAUGGUGUGCCACAACCUCACAAUGGUGCAUGGUGAUAACAUUAUUGAUUGAGAAUUGUUAAGUUAAAUGAAUAUUAGUUGAUUUUGGGAGUUCAAUUGAUGUAUUGUUUAUUUCCACCUUAAGUGGGUUAUGAAUUUUAGCUACAAAUGGAAGUACAUUGGUUGGAUUUGAUGAAGAUGUCAUGAGUGUUAAAUGAUAAGUCACCCUAUUAGUUAUUAUAGAGCCAAAUAUUGCUAUGUUAAAAUUAGUAAUGGUAGACGUUUCUUCACCUUAUAAUGACAUCCUUGGAAGAAAAUAGAUACAUCAAAUGUAGGCUAUGCCAUUCAUUUAUCAUUAAAAGUUGAUUUUCCUCUUUACAAUUGGAAUGAUAGAGACUUGGUAAUUAAAUUAGUGUAAGAAUGUUAUUGUAUACCUUUGAAGGGAGUUUCAAGAAGUUGGAAAAUUGACAUUAGUGAAUUAUUGUAACUACAACAUCUAUUGAGGAAGAAUGAAAAUGCUUUCUCGAUUGCAAAAGAGAAAGAAAUAAAUUGAGUGUAUUACCUACAAGGAAGGAAAGUUUGUAUAAGUUAAAGUCACACUCUUCAUAAAAGGAUUUCUUAUCAUUUUGUCUUUUAUCAGAGUGUUCAGAAUUUAACGAGGAUGUCAUAAAUUUGGAUGUCAAACUUCUUGAACAACUCCUUUAGAAUUCCAUUCUAUCCCAAAUCCUUGAUAAUUCUAUUAUUUGCAAUCAUUACCCAUUUUCUUGAUAAAAUUGAGUGCCAAAAAAGUAACAUAAAAAAGAGUCAUGUUUAUAUAAAUUUGAGAAAAGAAUACAAAAAAAAAAAAAAAAAAAAACAAUGAGGCAUUUGGAGCUCUUUCAUUGUUUGAGUUGUUUUAAUUUUUGAAAUUAUUUUAUUGAUUCAAAAUAUAAUGAAAUAAAUCAACACAACAAAAAAUGGUCACUUAAGACCUAAAAUUCUAGAACAAGAUCAAGAACUAUAAAUACCAAAAACUUUGAAUAAAAAUUUGGAUGAAAAUAGUUUAAGAGGUUUUAAAUUAAACAAAAAGGUAAAAAUUUCUUAAAAAAUAAAAAUAAAAAUACAAGUGAAUUAUUAACCCAAACAUUUAGAAUAUAGACCUCCAAAGCCCAAAACUAAUAUAUGUAUUCAAUAUCCAAGUAUUUGGAAUAAGAAUCACAAUUUGAACAUGAGUCAAUAAUAUGAUUUGAAAAUGACAUAAAAAUUCACACGUUCGAGUUGAGUAUAAUCAUGUUCAUGUCAUAAUUGUGUCAACCAACAUAAUAUAGUUAAUAAAUGGCUUCAAGUUCGAAUGACCAACUUGCAAAACCCAACCCACUCAUAAUUCCCAUAGCCUAGUUAAAUAAUUAUUUCGGGAUAACUUGUUUAUGAAACUUGACCCGUUUAACCUCUAUAAUUUUUAUUUACUAAUUUUAUACAUUUUAAAAAUAAUAUAAAAUUAUUACAAAUUAUAAAUCGAAUAUAAAAAUAUAUACCUCAGGCAUAAAUUUUAAAUAAUUAAAUUAAUGAAAAAUCUAUAGUGAGUCAUGACAUUAACUAUUAGGUGAUUAUGAUCUCACCAAACUACUACAUUAUAUAAUUUAUCAAUCUUGAGAGGAUACCAAACUUGUACUAAAAUUUGUGGUAACUUUGACUUACGGGUGAAAUCUUAAUUAAGGUAGUCAUAUAUAUUCCUAUGAAUUUGGUCAUUAUUAAUGGGGACAACUGAAAAUGGUAUUCUCAAUAGAGAUGCAGAUACCAUGAUAUCUCUUAAGAUUGGGAUGAUGUGUCAUCUUGGGUGGUCCUAAGGACAUGUGUUGGAAAAAUUUAUAGUCUUAGUAAUUUUUUAACUAAAACUUGACAUAUAUUUUUUGUGAGCUAAAGUAUGUUAAUUGAUUACAUAACAGAAGAAUCUGAGACUUAAAGAUUGUAGAAGUAAUCUUGAGAGGUUGAUAAGAUUUACUUUGUUAGAUUAUGAUCGACACCGAUUAAUUAGGAGUUUACAUAUAAUGAAGAUACUGGAGUGUAAAUAACUCGAUGUAGUAGGAUGUUGAAUCAACUUUAGAAUUAGAUUUUGAGGAAGCCAAUAUUUUUCUAUGGGUCCCAAUGAUCCUUACUUGAGCUUAGUUUCCAUGGUGACAUAGUUUAUGAGGACUAGUUAUGUUUUUUAUUCACUUGUAUGCAUAAGGACAUUUUGAUAAAUAUAUAAGGUUACAUAAAAGCUUGUAAAUAGCUCUUCAGACUGAGUUAAUUGAUUAAUUAGAGCCAAAUAGGGCUAAUAAAUCAGUUAGACCCAUGUGAGCUAGUUUAAGUAACCCAAGCUAAGAAUGAGACCAAAUUAUUUAAGCCCACUAGAAUCCUAUAUAAACCAUCUUAGGGGUUAGGGCUUCAACUCUAAACAAUCCAUUCUUCUUAUUCACUCUAGAAAGAAAAGAACCUUAACCACUAACCCCUUCAAAGGAUUCCACCCUUUGUGUGUCAGGAUUUGAAAAAAGCCAUUAGAUAGAAGACUAUUGAGUUUAAGAGAUCUACCGUAUAUUUGACACAUUUAAUAGGAUUUGAUUUAGGAACAUCCAAAUUUAAGGUAAAAACAUUCUCUUCUAGAUUGAAAAGUUUUUAUAUGCUUAUUUGCUUUCAUUACUAAGAUUUAGAAAGCCCCCGAUAGAUUUUCUUAUAUCCUAAUGAUCCAAGGAUGGGAAUGGAGUAAUUCAGAUAUCCCUACACUUCUUGUAAACUCUUGUUUGUUAACCAUGUUUUCAUAUUACAUGGUCAUUUUUUUUAAAUAUUAAAAAUAGGAUAAUUUGUAUUGUAGUUAUGUUUGUCAGUUAUAAACUAACUAAUUAAAUGGAUUCUACGACCCUUUUUAGGUUAAUUUUAUUUUUUUUUAUUUUUUUUAUUUUUGUUGGGAAACAAGUAAGAAAUAGGGUUGCAAUGUUGUGUGUAUUUCUCUGAUUUCAUUUUCUUAUUGUAAGUGGGAAACAAGGUAGCAAGCACAAAUGAUUAUUAUUGUUGCCACUUUAUCAUAUUCUUACUAACAAAGGGCAAAUUUGGAUACUUGAAAAAAAUAAAAAUAUUUUAUGCUCAUAAAAGAGUACAAUGAUAAAAAAAAGUUGAAUCAAUUCAAAUCCCAAAAUCAUGUCAUUGUUUUAUAAAUAUCUUCCAAAAUGUGAGAUUCUUUGGGAAUAUAUUUUUCUUGAUUAAGAUUUUUACUGAACAUAUAUGUGAAACCAAGGUUUGGUUAAUAUUGAUUUUGAUGAUAACAAAACAAGGUUUAGAACUAAUGAUUAUAUUUUAAGUGUGAUUAGGCUAGACGAUUUUCAAAGUGGCAAUCACAAAGACAAAUCAAGUUAAGGAGAAAUCAUGAAGAAGAAGACCACCUCAAAGAGAAGUGUUUUUCAAGACCCAAGUUUCAUAAGAUCUCUUUGUAAGGUUGUUGGUGCACUAGGAUUUUCAUGCAUUACAUUUUUUACUUAUGCACCAAAAUCAUCCAAGAGUUAUUUUGUUUUAAAUAUUUUAAGAAUUGGAUGAUUUCAUGUUUUUCAACUAAAACCUUGUGUUAAAUGUUUUUCAAACUUGUUUUAAAAAGGUUUUAAGUUGAAAAAGUUAGUUGUUGAGCCAAAAAACGGCUCAACCGGUUGAACAGGAUGAGGAACCGGUCGACCGCAAGCUCAACCGGUCGAGGUCUGGGUCGACCCCCAGCUCAAUCGAUCGAGGCUCGGGUAGACUCCCAGCUCAACCGGUUGAGGGUGCAAAAAACUUUCUCUUUCUUCCAGAAUAGUUGUUCAACCGGUCAAGGUUGAACCUCAACCAGUUGAGGUCCGAUCGAGGUCCGGUUGAGGCCCAACGGUCACCUGUCAAACAUUAAAUGCUAACAGCUAGUCAACCGAUCAACCCCUAACUUGACCAGUCGAACCCCCAAACGACUAGUUUGACUUUUCUCUUCUAUAAAAAGGCUCCAAUCUUCAUUGUUUAGUGAGCUUAACCUUCUCAAACUUUUCUUGAAUAUAUUUGAGCCUUGGAAGAGUGUUUUUGAGUGCACCAUUAUUCUAAAACUUGCAUAUCCUUAGUGCACCUUUCAAUCCUAGUUUUCUUGUAUAAUUUGAGCUUAAAGUUCUUGUGUUAGGAUUUUUAUGAGAUCAUUUAUUUGUAAACCUUUGAGAAGAAGUUUCUCAAGAGUGUGGUAUUUCUUGAAAAGUGUAAAGGGUGCUUGGAAUCAAAAGUUUAGGAGGGUGAAUUGGAACCACAAUUCAAUUGUAUUACUUGAAGGCUUGGUUUGGAAGCCUUGAAUUAGUGGAGCCUCAAGUUCGGGAUUGAAGCUAGAGGAGAGUGGAUCUAGGCCGGGUUGCGCCAAACCACUAUAAACUCUUGUGCUUACAUUCUCUCUUCCAUACUCUUUAAUUUAUAUGCAAUUGUCUUUAUAUUACUCAUUAUAUACUUGCAUAUAAUUGUCUCUUACAUUCAUAUAGUUUAAAUUUGCAAAAAGAGACCAUCACCUUAUUCACCCCCCCUUUAAGGUGAUUACCAUAGGUUGGAUUAACAUAAUUUUUCUAACAAUAUAUAUAAUAUAAAAAUCCUCAAAAUAUUUAUUGUUGCUUAGAAUAUUUUAAUAAAAAAAAUACUAGAAUUUUUUUAACGGGUUACUUGAUUAAAAGAGUCUGAGAAAACCCAAUUUUAGAAAUUUAACCCUUUGUCCAUUUUUUGUCUAAUUUUGACAAAAAUACUCUUAUUAUUUUCUUAUAAAAAUAACAUAUGUAAAUAUUUGAAAUGAUGAAGGACAUUUAUGUAAAAAAUGAGUUAUUUUUUAAGUAAAAAAUAUGAAAAAGGUUAAAUUCAUAAUUUGGGAAUUAUCUCAUCUUUUUAACCAAAUAUUUCUUUUUUUAAUAGGUUGGUUGAGUUAGAAAAUUGUAUUAAGUUUUGAAUGGACAAAAAAUCUAUUUUAGAGAACAGUCUACAAAUGGGUACAAUUAUGCGGAGAAUUAAAUCAUUUUCUACCAUCAAUUUUGACGCAAUCAACAGGCCCAACCCAAAUUGUUUUCAGUGGGCCAGGUUGACAAAGCCCAGACCCAGUAAGGUUUAGCAAGCUGUAGUUCUGAGUUAGGGUUUAUCUCUCUUGUUUCUCUAAACUCGGUUUCAGAAUCAUUCCCACAUCAGACCAGGGGAUUCUCUCUUUCCAAAUCUCUCAUCGCCAUGACGAAGUUCAGAAAGCUUGGUCGGCCCACUGGCCAUAGAAUGUCCAUGCUCAGGUUUCAAUUCAAUUAUAAGUUUUCCAAAUCUUGGGUCUUACCAGCCGUACGGACUGAAUGUAGUGUUUUUAAAAUUUUCUUCCUUAUUUUAUGCCUUCAGAACAAUGGUGUCGCAGUUGGUGAAGCACGAGCGCAUUGAAACCACCGUUGCCAAGGUAAAACUGCUUCCUCUUUCAAUGUUUUUUGUUUACAUCUUUGUUUGUUUGCCGUGAAAAUGUCGAGCGAUGGAAGACGAGCUUGAUGUUGAAUGCAUUUUGGUGAUCAAGUCACAGAAACAAACCUUCCCCAUCUCUCUUCUCUCUGUAGCUUCUCACUUCGCCUGAUAGAUAGUGGGUAUUUGUGUUUGUUUAUCCGGGGAAAAUUUCCCAAAGUUAUCUGUCACUUUCCCAGAAAAUUAACAGUACCCGCGGAUUUUUACUUCGGGGGUGCGUCUCCGGACCAGUGUGGUGUCAUGCUUCCGUCAGGACUGGUCUGUAUGUAAUUUCAAAUAUGCUAUUUUUUGGAUUGAUAUUGCUGUGCUGUGUGCUGUUGAUAACUCAGAUAUGUUAUUUGUGAUAUCUGAAAGUAUGGGCAUGAUGGGGGUUUGAGACCUGUGUUUUGUUUUGUGUUUUUUGUUUGGUUGAAUGUACUGGAUUUGAAAUUAUAGAGAAGGGCGAGGGGCUUUCUUGGUUUGGGGGUUUUUUUGUGAGUGGGGAUUUAACCUGGGUUUGGAGAUUUGAGGCAUUUUCUUUUUGUGGAUAUUGAUUUUUUGGGGAUUAGAACUGAAACUAAGGUGGGGUUUGGGAACUGAAAACUGAAAUAUGCAUGCAAGGAGUGGUUUGGAUCAGGAUAUGGUGAUAGUUGCAGCUGUUUUGAGAACUUGAGCAUUUGAUUGCUCGAUGACCAACACCACUGUGUGUGAGAAUUUGCUAAUGACUGUGAGUCAUGGUUUAAAGUCACAGCAUCACUCAUUGACUUGGGAGGUUGUGAGGCACAUCAACCUUGACAUCUCACUGAGGCACAUCAAACUUGACAUCUUGGAUUGGUAUUAGAUGAUAGACAAAAUAUACUGGUUUGAAAGCUUAAAACUUCUAAAAGAGUUUUAAAAGAACUCAUAAAUAAAAUUAUAUCACAUGUAACAUUAUUUGAAUACUCAUAAAAGAAUGCAUUCAGAUUAAUUUAUAAUAAUAAUUUAUACAUAAUUGAAAAUAAAAUAGAGAUAAAUAUAUUAAAAGUAUUUUCAAAACAUUAUUAUUUAAUUUUACUAUAUGUAGUUAGAUAAUUUAAUUUAUUAAUUUAAAUAAAAUUGUCAUUAAUUAUUUAUACCCAUAUCCAUAUAUGAAGUUGCAACUUUGAACUUGGAAAUUACUUGUUCUGUGGUACUUUUUUAUUUUCCAAUGAUAUCCUUUCGUAGGCAUUAAUUUAUCAAUAAAAUUUUUUCUUAUAAUGUGUAAUACAUUUGUUUCAUAUUUCGUUGAGACAUUGUGCUACAAAAUGUACAAAUUUUAGCCGAGAAAAAUGAUAUAGUUAUUGUUUAAAACAUAUGGUAUAGAUUAGUUUUUUAUGAGUUAGCAUAAUAUAUAUAGGGUUACUAAUGUUGAGGACCUAGCUUGGGUUCUAGGUUGUAAUGUAUGGGUACCCUCCCCACUAGUUAUCUUGUCUAUCAUUUGGGAGCCCCUUUUAGAUGAUGAUGAGUGUGGGAUGUGGUGGAGCAAAAAUUUCAGAAAUAGCUUGCUAUGUGGAAGCAAUAGUACCUAUCAAAAAAGGAGGACUAACUCUAAUAAAAAGUACUUCUUCUAACCUGCCAAUUAGUUCAUGUUAUUAUUUGUCAUCUCGAGAAAGGUAAGCUUAAGGCUGGAAAAAAAUCCAAAGAGAUUUCCUUUUGUGGAGAGUUGCUUUGGUGAUACUAUGUCUUUGAACCAUGCUCCUUGCCAAGUCUGCUGGAAUUCAGACCAUUGUUUUAAUCCCAAGUGCUUGUGGGGUUGUAGAUCUGGGUUCAGUGAGGUCAUCACCUAAGAGCUUAGAGAUGUUGCAAACCAUAUGAUGUUCAUUCUUGAUGUUUUCACCAUUUAUCAGGGUCAAGCCAACCUUACCAGUGUUGAAUGAGAAGAAAAAUCCAAGUGCCCCUUCUCCAUUUUGGGGAUUGGGAAGCGAGGAGAAGGAUUUCUGAAGAUUUCUAGGUAGGAUUUGAACUCAGUUUAAAAGAAGCUUGCUGUUAGAAAGGCAGAAGAGAGGCUGUGGUAAGGCUUCCAAAGUGGGAAUAGACUUCCUUUCAAAAACACUCGAAAUGGUCUGCAUGGUUCAAGUUGGUGGUCACAUAUGCAAGGUGUGAAACCAGUGAGCACUGCAGAAAUGGACAGGGCUCAGGGCCUCAUCAUAAUCUACAUGAGAUUGUUAAUGGGGUUAUAGAGGAGUUUCAGCUUAACCAAUUCCUGUCUCUGAAGCAGGUGCAAAUUCAAAAUAAUUCUGCAGGGCCUGCUUCAAGGUCUUCUAUGUUGGUCCAGCCAAUGACUGUUGUAUUUCUCAAAAAUUAAAAAAAAAAAAAGAGGGAAAUCUCACUAUUUCAAAAUUUGACAAAUUUCAAAUCGGGAAAGCUUUAGAAUAGGCAACAUGUUUACUUUCUUCUUUCAUAGGUGCCCGUGUGUAUAUGUAAUUAAAAAAAUUCACAAUAAUAGUAAUUUGCAUUAUUUUAAAUUUCAAUAAGUUUAAAAUUUGGAAAUUUGUAUGAUGGAAACAUGUUUGUUUCUUUGAUUUUGCAAUUUCAGGCUAAAGAGAUCCGGCGGCUUGCUGAUAACAUGGUACAACUUGGAAAAGAGGUAUGGUUAGCACAUUUUUUUGGGGGGUUUUUCUUGUGUUUUUCUGGAUAUUAUUUCUGAGUGGGUUGAGCCUUGAACAUUUUUUUUGGAUAGCCAAAUUGAAGAUUAUAGAUUAAUAGAUGCCUUGAAAAAGGUCAAAGUCCCAAUUUCUUGGAGACUAAAAAUUUAUUAGAAUUUAAACUUAAUUUUUUUAUUAGACAAGUUUUUUGUAUUUCACUAACCAUUUUUAAGGUUGAGCCUAGAAACAUUUCAAUCCCUAAUUUCUUUUGGGAUGGCUAUAUAAUUAAAGGUAAAACUACUAUUCCUUCUGGUUAGAAAGGAUUACUAGAGUUUUUAAGAACAGAUUGGAAAUGCCAAAUAAUGUGAGUACAGAACCCCUUCUUCCUUUUUUGUUUUUUAAACCGGAGAAUAAGAAGGUUUAUUUUUCAGUGGAUUCCUUUUGUGGGGUUUCUAUGCUUAAUUUUGAUGGUGGUUCUCUUUGUGCUCCAGCCAGAAGGGCAUUGGAGGUGUUAUAGGGGUCACAACAUUAUCAUUGUUUGAGAUUACUCUUAAGUCUAAGGAUUUGUACUGGCUGUAAAAGCAGAGAUUUUAUUCUUUUUAAAGGGUUUGAAAUGGCUUCUUCUGUUGGGAUCCCUAAGCUUAUUCUCAAUGGAGAUUUUCUAUUGUCUAAUCUUGGUUCUUAAUCAAUCAGAGAGCCUUUUGGCAGUUUAUUUCCUUGAUCGGGCAGGAUUAAGGAUGGUGUGAGGGAUGUGGUGGUUUCCUGUUAAUAGGAAGCCCAAAUCCACUUAGCCAAGAGGGGAGCUCUGUCCAAUAAUUCUUUCUUUUUGUUUUAUUUUUCUCCUUUUCUCUUUCUUUCCUUUCUUUUCUUUUUCUUUUCAUGCCCCUUUUGGGGUUUUGAGGUAGUGAGUGCCUAGUGCUUGGUUUUUUUCUAUUUCUUUUUCUUCUUGGGGACAGCUUUGUUUAUAAAGAAAAUUAUUUUUAUUCCAUCUUGAAAUUAUUACAGGGUUCUCUUUGUGCUGCAAGGCGUGCAGCAGCCUUUGUGCGAGGGGAUGAUGUGAUUCACAAGCUAUUCACUGAACUGGCUUAUAGAUACAAGUGAAUCUUAAACCUGUUGCAUUUUCAGUUUUCUUUUGUAUGGUUGUAAUAUUGGAUGGGCAUUCUCUGUUUCAGAGAUAGAGCUGGUGGAUAUACAAGAUUACUUCGAACUCGCAUACGAGUUGGUGAUGCUGCACCAAUGGCCUAUAUUGAGUAAGAUUGUAUUUGACUUGUUAUUGCGAUUGUUUUUUAGGAGUCAAGCAUCUGUCUGACACUAGUGUCUUUCGAAUGAUUUUAGAAGAUGUUACAAUAUUUCUUUUCUAAAUAAUGAUUAUAACUAUUAAUGUAAUGACUAAUGAGGAUAUAAUAUUCAUCAAAAUGGUUGUGUUACAAACAUAUUCAUUAAGAAAUUAUGAAAUUUUAUAUAAUACGUAUUUGAAAGUAUGUCAUCUAUGCAAAAUAUUCAUUGUAAAUUAUUUUUUGAAAAAACUUGGACAAACACUGUUAUUAAUGUGCUUUUUCAAGGCUUGACAUUAAUAACUACGACAAUAAUAGUAACAAUAAUAAAAGAAGUGAGGAAUUCUGUCCUCUGAAGUUAUUCGCUUAUCUGAUAUUUCCAUUGAUGUACCCUGUUUGGCCUUUGUUGAUGUCCGUCCUUGUUUUAAUUAUAUGUUUACUCAUGUGAACAGGUUUAUAGAUAGAGAGAAUGAGCUUAGACAGUCAAAACCUGCAACACCUCAGCCACCACAGAGAGUGCCCUUGGAUCCCUGGACAAGAUCCCGUCUCUGCAAGCAGUUUGCUCCCCCUAAGGAGGAUAAGAGCUCUGAUCCUGAGAUUUGAAAUGAGUUGAUGGCUUGUAAUAAGAUUUUGUUCCAUUCUUUCCUUCGCACAUGGCUGAAACCUGUGCUUCAAUUAAGUUUAUGGGGAUUGCCAUUCAUGGCAAUGUAUCAAUCUCUGUUCCCUGACCAGCCAUUGUGAGAACAUAAAUGGGGAUUAGUGCAGUGCGGAUCGGUAGCAUGUUUGGAUUUGGAUUGAUAGGGCUAAAAAAUAUGGAGGUGAACCCUGUGGCUUUCUUGGAAGACAUUAGCAUGUUCUUGAGUGGUCAUUAAUAAGUUGUGACUGGUUUAUCUGAUUAAGCUUGUUAUACAUCCAGAAUAAUUUGCUCAGAAUUGAUCCAGUUGGAUUCUUUUCAAAGUUUGAGAUUGGGUUGUGGUCCAAGUGUUGGGGUUUUGGUUGUGGGUAGCAAACUAAUCUACAGGAAUGAGAAGAUGCAGUGCUGAUUUUGCGGGUUGUUGAUGCCAAACCCACCCCAUCCAGUGGCUGGUGAAAGGGAGGCCCCCCUUGAAUGCAAAGCAUGUCCAGGAUUGAGGAAGGAGCUGAGGUAGCUGCAUGUCAAACAUGAAAUUUGGUGAGCUGGUGAGCGUUACAAAUACAUUGUUAACCUUUUGAUAAAUAGAAGCUUAGCUUGCAAGUUGAGACUCAUUCCCCACGGUUUGUAACCAGCCAUAAUCUUUGGGCUGUGUUUGGCUCUAGAAAAUUUGAGGGAAAGAAAAUAGAAGGAAAGUUUUUUAAAAUCAAUAAAUUAUUAUUUUUAUGUUAUUUUAAAUUCAUUUCACUUAUUUUUCCUUUCUAAUGUAAGAAUUAAAUAAUCUUAAAAUACAUAAAUUUUUAAUUAAUUACAAUUGUAUUGGAAUUUUUUUCAUUAUUUUCUAUGGUAAAAUGAAACUUGAGAAAAUAACUUGUUUUUGGUAUAUAUUUUUUCUGGGUAUUCUUUGAAAAUCAAAUAUAGCUUUGGAGUGUGGAAGUAGGAUCCAAACAUGCCGCUGAUCAAAUAUGAAAUAACCAUAAUAUCCAUUUGGUUGGGUCCCAAGUUUUCUAUAAUGUUGUAUGUAUCCCUCACUUGCCUUCUUUUUGGGGGUUUCUAAAAAAACUGCAGGAGUAUUAUUUUACGAUAUCAAGUGGUCCAAAGGACCAGAACCUCCUUAAAAAAAAUGAUACCCAGGAUAGACUGAAGUACAGGAAAGGCCAGUGAGACAUGAUUUGUUGGUAUCACAAAGACCUGAAUCAUGAGUCAUGAGUCAUGACCAGAGAAAAGCGUUUGAAGCUUCGGCUUUUGGUUGCUUUGCUUUCAAUACAAAGUACAGGAUACAUGUAAGUCAGGCGUGUCCACAUCAUAUGGUAUGGUCUGGUCAGCCUUGUCUGGAAAGACAAGAUACAGCCAAUAGCAGAAUACUUUCUGGAAGUUCUAUGCAUGGAUUAAUGGAGAAGAGAUGGGAGAUGGAGUAACAGUGAGAUACGUAGCGACUGGUGCAAGGCUUCAAUCAUAUAACGAAGUCCCACCUUCUCUCUGUCUUCUUCUCUUCCCCACAUUGCUUCAUUUUCUUAUACUUGAAAAAUCGUUUCUUAACCUCUCACAAGUCUAAUCCAUUAUCAUCAAUCACCCAUGAUUACUAUUUCCUUUAACCACCUCUCCUUCUCUGAUUUACUUCAAUCCAAAGCCAACAAUACCCUCCUUCAGCCGUCUGGCAGGCUCCCAACUUUAUUUGGGAUUUUAAUUAUUUGCUUCACUCUCACAAUUACCUGUUAAGAAGUUUUUAAAUGAUGAUUGAAGUGAUAUUAUCAAAAAGCUCCAUCCUUGCUUCACUAUCAACUCACUUGUAAUUAUACCUAGCUUUCUGUUGUUCCUAUUUUGCAUAAUAAACGUGUGAUUUCCAUGAGAAAGUGUUCCUUAAUUAUUUCCCAUGGAUUUUUUUUUAAAGAUAUAAAAUAAAAACUUGGAAUUGAUAUUUUUUUUUUUUUUUUAAAAAAAAAUGUUUUAGAACAAGUUAAAAAGACUUUUCUUUGUUUUAUUACAAAAAACGUCAUAAUGUUAUUUUUUUUUUUAAUAUCCUAAAAAAAUCAUUUUUUUUUUCUUUACAUGAACCAAAAAUAAUUUUGAAAACCUAAGAUUUGGCAACCCUUUUCAAAAACGGUUUUCUGCUCUUCAAAAUAAAAAAAUUAGGUAAAUAUGUUUAACAAUUAAUAACCAUUUUUUGUUUUCUAUUUUUUAAGAACAACACAUAAAGUGUUUUAUGGUAACAUUUUUUAAAUUGUUUUUUUAAAAAAUAAUUAUAUAAACAUGUAAAAUGAUUAAAAAUAAAACAUUAGAAAUAAAUAAGUAUUUUUAAAAUAUAUUUAAAAUAUUUAAAAUAAAUUAAAAAUAUUUUAUGUUUCUAAAGAAAUUUUUGUUUUACAAAAUAUAAUGCAAUAGUUUUCAAGAAUUAUUUUUUAAAACUAUUUUUAAAACUAUUUUCAGAAAUAUUUACCAAACAAACCUUAAUAUUUUCAUUUAUUUUAUCAAAUAAGCCUUAAACCUUUUUUCUUCAAUUUCGAAUGCGAGUAGAUUUUAAAAAUGUCGUUUUUUGCACUGAAAUAAAAAUCCAUACUUUAAAAUUCGAAAUAUGGGAAAAAUUAUUAUUAUUAUUUUUUAAAAAUAAAAUAUAUAUUUCAUUUGAUUUUAUUGUUCAUAUUGCCUAUUGUGUUAGGUGAAAUAGUCCUUGAAAAGACCCUUAAACCUAUACAACACCCUAAUUAAUAUUACUUAAAUAUUAAGAUAAAAAAUAAAAUUAAUGAAAAAAUAAAAAAUGAAAAUAGAAACUUGGCAUUUAGUGGUUAUCUACGUGGGUCAACCAGUGACACCUUAUCCGUCCAUUCGUUCAAGAUGGACAGACCUCUAUUCUCAUUACCAAUAAAAUAAUGAAAAAAAGGAAAGGGUACCUACUUCUUAGGCCCAAGGCAAGCUAGUGAACUACCAAAUCUACCAUUAUGUUUAGGGCAAAAACAACCCUUAAAUAGGGGCAACAUUGUCCCUAAGAAAAUAAAUAAAUUAAUAAGUGUCUUUAUAAAUUUGACUUACAAAAUGGUACCCACUUUGGAGGGGGCCUAAGAAAAUAAUGAUUGGUCAGUGUUGUUUACUUGGUAAGUGAGAUGGGACAUUUGAUCAUCAACUAGUUCAACCCAUCUUUCUUUUUCCUCAACCAAAUCUAGUAAUCUUUACACAAUCAUAGCAAUCAUCUUUUUCUAUUUUUUCAAAGGAAAAAAUGCACACAAAACUUGAAAUUAUGGUCAUCCUUUUAAUUUAAAAUUUGAUUACAAGUCAUUGUGACGUAUUGUUUUUAAGAAUUAAUUCGUAUUUGUGAAUUUAACCAUUUUUUAUAUUUGAAGAGUAACAUUUUUAAUAUAAAUACCUUUAACUAUUUUAAGUAUUUAUAUAUAUAUGUUUAAAAAAAAGUUACUUUUAUAAAAUAAAAAAAAUAUUUUUGUCAAAAUAAGAUUUUAAAAAAAAGAUGAACAGGAUAAAUUUUCAAAAUCGGGUUUUUAUUGACCCUUUUAAUUAAAUAACCAUUUUUUAAUGUUUUUUUUUAUAUAAAUAUCAGUAAUUUACCCAAAAAAAAAAAAAAAAACAGACACUAUCAAUAGAAUUUUUUUUCUUUAGAGAAUGUCAUGAAAUAAUUUUUAGAAUAAUAUUUAAUAGAUUUUUUUUCAAAUAUUAUUAUUUUUCUAUAUAACACACUAUCAAUAAUAUUAUUAAAAGAAAAUAUUUUUUUUUGUAUUUAAUUUGAUUUUUAUAAGAGCCUUAUAGAAUGAAAACUCUUCUUAAUCUUCAAUGACCUUAAUUAUCUUAAUCUUAGAUCGUAUUAGAAAUUUAGGGUAUGUAGGAUAACUGUUUUUUAAAACAAUUAUGAAAAACAAUUUUUGAGAAUAGUUUUUCAAAACUAUUAUGUGAUAUUUUUGUAAAACAAAAGUCUAUUUAGAAACUUAAAACAUUUUUAAUCUAUUUUUAAAUAUGUUUUAAAAAUAUUUUUUUUCUAUCUAAUAUUUUAUUUUUAAUCAUUUUACAUGUUUGUAUAAAUAUUUUUUAAAAUGGUCAUUACAAAAUAAGUAAAAACAGUAUAAAACAACUAAAAUAUAUUAUUUAAAAACAAUUUUUGAUUGUCAAACUUGUUUUCUUGAUUUUUUGUUUUAGGAAAAUUGCUUUUAAAAACAGUUAUCAAACAAGUUAUUAGAUUUUCUUAAUUAUCAUUUAUGACACUUUUAUAAAAAGAUUAAAUCAUUAACAAAAAUUUAAUGUAUGGUUUGUAUAUAUUUUUAUUUUAAAUUUUAAAAUAAAAAAUAAUUAUUUAUAUUUAUUUAAAAAAAUAAGUUUAUCUCAUAUUAUUAAAUUUUGAUUUAUAGCAUAUUUUGAUUUGAGAUAAUAAUUUUUAAACCCAUAAAAAAUUACCAUAAUUUCAAGUUAGACUUACGAUAGCAAAUGCAUUUCUUCCUUUUAAAAUGAAAAACAAAAUGUUAUUUUUUUUUUUAAAAAAAGUAAAAAAUAAAAUUGAUCUCCGAAGAUAUAUUACAAUUCUAUGUUAUAUAUUCUUUUGAAUGAUGUAAGGUGGUGUUUGUUUUUUUAAUUUUUUGUUGAAAAUAAGUUGCUUUCUGAUUUUAGAUUAUUUAUUUAUUUUAUUUUUUAUUGAUUUAUUACUUAUUUUGGAAAACAAAUUCAUAAAUAAAAAAUAUUUAAUUUUUUCUAAAUAUUAAAAGGAAAACAUUGAUUUUUCUUUACUUAUUAAUACUUAAUAAAAAUAAAAUAUUAAAAAAAAAUUAAUUCUUAAUACGAUUAAAUACUAUUUAAUUUUAACCGCUAAAUGUUCAAAGAAUAUAUAUAUAAUUUUUUUUUUCCAUGAAGAUUUCUAUACUCCAAGCCACACAAGCACAAGUAAAGAAACCCCACAAUUUUAUUUUAUUUUAAAAAGAGAAUUCCAAAUGUAGAAUUUAGAUACGAAUAAAUAAUGAAAAAUGGAAAGGUAAAUUUAAAAGGACGUUAGCUCUAUCUCUCUCUAUAUUGAGGCUCCUUCCUCCUUUGAGUGUGCCUCCUUCACACCACCACCACCACCUUUGUGCGGAGCUCAAGACAGAUCACUGGUCUGCUGUCUCUUUCUCACCUUCUUUCUCAACACCUCUCCUCUCUUUUUCUUCUUUCUUCCAUUUGGUUUCUGUCUGCAACAUCUCUUCUUUCUUCCACGUUGUGUUUCUCUCUCCCUCUGCAUUAAUGGUGUUUUGGUAGGUUUUCAUUUCUGAUAUCUGUUUUUUUUUCCCCUUUCAAUACAAUUUGGUUUCUGGGUUCUUAACAUUUCUGCUUGAGUUUCAUAGUUUCGUUCUUUGAGAUGACUUAAAUACUAUUCAUUCUCCUGUUUUAUCAAUUUAUUUCCCUAUGUUUAAAUCUUCCUCUGUUUCUUCUUUAGCUCUUUCCUUAUGGGUUGUUGUUUUUUUUGUCCUUUCUUCUUUCAUUUAAUGUACCAUGGACUCCAUAAUAAAGACAGUCUGUUUUAUUCCAAUUUCUUGGACCUGUCCAAUUCAUGAUUUCUGUUUGUAUAUUGUGGUGGAUCAGAUGUUGCUUUUCUGCUGCUUCUAAGAGGUAGAGAUGAGAGGAGCAAUGGGUUCAACGCAGAGCCCAAUUGAGGCUAGACAACGGCUAUCUGUAUCUAUGUAAGUUUCUCACCGUCUACCAAUGGGCUUGAAUCCAUUAUAAUCAGAAAUAUGGUUUCUUCUUUCAGUUACUAUCCAUAACUUCACCCUUCAAUUAAAACCAAGAUAACAUUUGGAAGUAGAUCUUCAAAAUUUGCCUCCAGGAAUCCUCUAUUUCUGUCAAGUUUAGAUUGCAUUAUCAUGCAGCAGUUUCUUUAUGGGUUUGGGAUGGGUAAAUUUCACUCACAUUCCUUGGGUUUUGAGAUCACGUGAGUUUGAAAUUUCAUAAAAUGCCUCUCUUAUUUUAAAUCAAAUAGGAGAUAAAUGAAAAUAAAAAGAAAGAUAUUUGAUAAAAUUUUAACCAAACGAUCACUAAGAGUCCAUUUGAUAGUGAUUUUAGGAGGCGUUUUUAACAUUUGAAAAAUUUUAUUAUUCAAGUGUUAAAAAUAUUAAAAACGUUUUUUAAAAUCAUUAUCAAACACACCCUAAAUGUAUUUAGUCCAAAUACUUCACCAGAAGUGAAUGAAGUUGGGAUUAGUCAUAUUUUUUUUUUAUUAUUUAAAAUAUAAAAUUGUUGUUCUAUUUUUGUUGUCCUUUGAGUGAUUUGUCAUUGAUUUGAUUAUUAGAUAUUACAUCAUGAUGUCAACUUGCUUUGGGUUGUUGUGAUUCCAACGUUUGGACCUUAAGCUUAUGGUUCCAAAGUGAUGUUUUUGUCGUCUACUUCUAUUGCUUCAAAAGUAGGCAUCUUCAAAUCUCUAAUUUUCUUCCUUUUGUGGUUGUAUUAUCCAUUAAUCUUCUCCUUAAAGCACAGAUCAAAGCUCUGAACAAAGAUGAUCCACUCAUGGUAGAAACAAAAAUAUUUUCUUAUGUUGAAUUGAAGAAGUGGCAUGAGAGAUUGCUUCUUGUUUGCAAAGAUGUGAUAAAUGGAGCCUAAACUUGUUCUCUUUGCCUUGGUCAAUUACCAUAUUUUAGGGGACCUGGAAAAGACAUCUUAGAAGAUGAGAUGCUUUCUUUCGAAUUUAGUCAUGUUUUUGGUGUUUAUAACAGGUGGUUUGUUGGCUAAGAGCUGUCUCUCUUAGUAGAUUUCAGUCAAGUCUCACCCAAAUUUAUUGUUGAGAUUCAUCAUCCUGUUCCUGGAUCUUUUCUUGAAAGCUACAUGUAGAGUAUCAAGGAAGUAAUGAUCAGCUAAAGAAGAUUUGUAACUGUCAACUGUAGCCUCAAAAAUGUUUCAAUGAAGACAAUAAGCAUAUGGCAUUUGAAAAUGGUGCCUUCAUUCCAUCCAUAUGAAAAAAGAAUUCAGGCAUGGCCUUUUGUUAACCUCAUGCAUAUAUUAACAAGGCCACUGAAAUGAAUGGUUCUUCUACUAGUUGCACAUUUUUAUCGAUCUUCUACUGAUCUCCUGCAUGAUUGAGAAACGUGACAUUACUUAGAAUAUAAGUUCCAAAUCAAAAUAUGCAGCAAUAUUUGUGAAUGGGCUUGUUCUCCUAAUCCAGAUGUUGACAUUUAUACCUGUUCCUACACUUCUAUGUGCAUAAACACAGUUCCCAGUUAGAAUUAGACACGGAAAUUAAAACUAGGAAUUGUUUGCUAUUUCGUAGGCAUUUUUCUGUUACGCCAGCAAUUUUCGCCGCUAACAGUUGGCUUGGUGAUCUUCUUACCCUUUGCUUGUCUUGUGUCUCCAUUAAUGUCUACUAAUUUUUUCUUGAACACCUACUUGAAUCAGUGAAGAUACAUACAAAAGAAGGUCACAGAGGAGUAAAGUUAAAGAUGAGAAGCCCUUUCACAUCCCCAUACAAGACAGGAGCACAAAAUGCAAGUUUCCUGCAUUGAAGCUGGUACUAGUUAUAAUUGUAUGUGGCACUUUUAUUACACUCUUCUACUCUCCAGCUGUUUGUAAUGACCAUAUAUCACACGCUAACUCCCGGUAGGUGUUUAUUCCCCUUCUGCUCGUGCUUUGUUUUUGAAUAAUUUUAUGGGAAUUUGUUAUUUUGUUGCUUUGGUUUACCUUUUAAAUGGGAAAAUUGUUCUUUUGCAUGCCAAACCAGUAUUGUUUAAUGGAAUGCAGGCCAAGUUUUGUUAACAGGUGGAUAUGGGGUGGUUCAGAUCCACGGUAUAUAUCGGAUUUAGAUGUUAAUUGGGAUGAUAUCUCAAAAGUCAUUGAUCAGCUUGUUGACAUGAAUCAAUAUCAGGGAAUUGGUCUUCUAAACUUCAAUAAGACUGAAGUCAAUAAUUGGAAGCAGCUUAUUCCCCAAACAAGUCACAUUGUUCUGCACCUGGACUACGCUGAAAAAAAUGUGACCUGGGAUACCUUAUAUCCGGAGUGGAUUGAUGAGGAAGAAGAAGAUGAAGUCCCCAUUUGCCCAUUGCUGCCAAAGCUUGAAGCCCCGAAAAAACGGCUUGAUCUUAUUGCUGUGAAGCUCCCCUGCCGGAAUGAAGGAAACUGGUCCAGAGACAUUGCUCGGUUGCACUUGCAGCUGGCGGCAGCACAGCUUGCAGCCUCUGUCAAAGGCAAUUACCCUGUGCAUUUGCUGUUUAUUACCAGCUGUUUUCCAAUACCAAACUUGUUUACUUGCAAGGAACUUGCUGCCCGUGAAGGGAAUACAUGGUUGUACAAACCAAAUUUGAAUGUACUGAGGGAAAAGGUCCAACUCCCAGUUGGGUCAUGCGAACUUGCAGUUCCACUCAAGGUCAAAGGUCAGUUAUAAUCCCAUAACUUCAAUCCCUUUGAGCAUUAUAAGCUUGAAAAUUUUCUUCCAAUGUAUGCAAAUGGAGUUGAUAGAUACUCAUCUAUAGAGUUCUGGUUUCUCCUUCAUGCUCCUUAAAAUUAUAACUCAACUUCAUUUUUUGCUCUAUAAAAGUUACUAAUACUAAUGUCUAUGAUCUCUUGAAUCAGAGCGGGUUUACUCUGGAGAUGUUCGUAGAGAAGCAUAUGCAACAAUCCUGCAUUCUGCUCAUGUCUAUGUGUGUGGAGCUAUAGCAGCAGCCCAAAGUAUUCGUUUGGCAGGGUCCACCCGAGACCUUGUGAUACUUGUCGAUGAGACAAUCAGUGAUUACCACAGAAGUGGACUUGAGGCAGCUGGGUGGAAAAUCAGGACAAUCCAAAGGAUCAGGAACCCAAAAGCUGAAAAGGAUGCUUACAAUGAAUGGAACUACAGCAAGUUCCGCUUAUGGCAGCUGACAGACUAUGAUAAGAUCAUUUUUAUUGAUGCAGAUUUGCUUGUGCUGAGGAAUAUUGAUUUCUUGUUUGGGAUGCCAGAAAUCUCUGCAACAGGAAACAAUGGCUCUCUAUUCAACUCUGGUGUAAUGGUGGUUGAGCCAUCAAACUGCACAUUCCAGCUUUUGAUGGAUCACAUCAAUGAGAUUGAGUCCUACAAUGGUGGAGACCAGGGGUACCUGAAUGAAAUCUUCACAUGGUGGCAUAGGAUUCCAAGACACAUGAAUUUCUUGAAGCAUUUCUGGAUUGGUGAUGAGGAAGAGAAGAAACAAAUGAAAACUCAUCUUUUUGGAGCUGAGCCUCCAAUUCUUUAUGUCCUUCACUAUCUGGGUUUAAAGCCAUGGCUGUGCUACAGGGACUAUGAUUGUAACUGGAAUUCGGACAUAUUUCAAGAGUUUGCAAGUGAUGUUGCUCACACUAGGUGGUGGAGAGUGCAUGAUGCAAUGCCAGAACAACUGCAGCAGUUUUGCAUGUUGGGCUCUAAGCAAAAGGCAGGAUUAGAAUGGGACAGGAGGCAGGCUGAGAAAGCAAACUACAGUGAUGGACAUUGGAGAAUCAAAAUAAACGAUCGUCGUUUACACAAGUGUAUUGACAACUUAUGCUCCUGGAAGGGCAUGUUACGGCACUGGGGCGAGACAAAUUGGACAGACGAUGAAAUUUUCACUCCAACACCACCUGCAAUCACCAUGGCAUCUCUUUCUGGCUAGUGAGUUGCAUUUUUCCUUUUCUCACCAUAUUUACUUUUGUAAAUGACACGAGUUCUGGAAAAUGGAUUCAUUUUUUGUUGUUGUUGUUAUCUUAUUCAUACGCAUAAAUAUGUCUUAGACCCGAUUCUGAGAACUGGGGAUAGUAGUUUUCAUCACCUUAGAUGCUUCUGAGGCUGAUUCAUUUACGGCUUUGUAUCAGAGUUGAGAGUCAUCUUAUAAAAGAAAACUCUUCUUUCCAUUUCUACUUGUAGCCAUGGAACUACAUGUGCCUAAGUACUCUAUAAUGGGAGUCCCACUAUGACUUUAUGGAUAAAUGUGGAAGUUGGAUGUAGUGGGCAUUGAAACGCUAGCCAUCAAUGACUGUAAGCCACAAUGUUCAGACAAUACUUAGACGACAAACAAACAAAUAAAUGAAUAUGACAGAUAAACUUGAAGAGCAAAGUGGGUAAGAGCACUAUGAUGGAAGUGGAUACCAUGUGAUUUGCCACUAUGAUGUUCUGGCAUAGGAUUUGGUUUCUAGAAUUUUUUAUGUGAAGCUGUGGUAUCUCAUAUGGUUCAGGGAAGAAGUUACUAGUAUUAUAUUUAUGUAGUAGACUUUUUUAACUGUAUUAAUUUUGAGGGUCUAUUGAAUCCAAAAGAUAAUAUCUAUAUAGGAUGGAGUGGGUCAUUAUACAAUUGUAUCAAAACCAAUUCUCGACCUCAAUGUUGGACUGCCCUGAUGUUGGACUGCCCUCAUAAUCCAAUGGGACACAACAAAAACAUUGUACUUGAAGGAGUUCUUAACACUAUUCCUAGAAGACUUCUCUUGAUUGUACAAACAUUUUUUAAAGUUGUGAGGCUUAUUGAGUCUAAAGUAAACAAUAUUUACACAGGACAGAGUGGUCCUUAAGAAAGAACUUUCAAGAAAUCUAGACAAAAUACAGUGUAAGAAGAAUGAUCUUCUCUUGCUAGAAUACAAGCUUUAGACAUUUGAUCAGUGUUCUGUAUCAGGCAAUUGUAUCUAGGAAGAGAAAACCACUGCAACUAGGCUCCAAGAAUAAGAAAGUCGGGGAACAUCUGAACAAAAAAAGGCCUUGUACAUCAAAAUCAAAUUUGACAUUUACUGCCUCGUGACAGCCAGAGACAGAGAGGCCUAAUCUUCUUUUACUCGCAUAGCCUCAUGUGAAAGUGAGAAUUAUAUCGUUGAAUAAAGUAUGACAAUGUCUUUGGCCUUUUCUAAGCACAAUCAUAUAGCAGUAAAAGCCAAAGUUGCCCUUCAGCAACACAACCUUAGAUGGCCCCUUGAGGGGCAGUGUAUGUGAACUGGCAAAAUGCCUGAACCAUUCAUCUCGAACAGAGGCACCCUGUAACACUUUGAAGGUCACCUCCUUUCCAACUCGCUCUACAAGUCUUCAAGGACAAAGUCAAGAGAUAAUGAUACUUUUGAGUCUAUGGAAAUCUGUCACCACAUGACCCGCUCAAAUUAUGCAACUCCCCUGUUUUCCACACAAGCAUAGUAUUAUGUCCGCCAAAGUCAUUGGCAAAGUCGCCAUUCCCCUUUGAUAAUAUGGCUGUAAGUUUGCUGAGUGAAAGUGAUUUUUUCAUGGCUUAAGUUUUGGUCACAAUUUCUUGGGAGAAAAGCAUAUACUGAGCUGUAUGAACGGCCAUUAAAGCAAAAACUUGUUGCUUCAACAGUGACUGUGCCACACAUUCAACCAAACCUUGUAUGGAGACCGUUAUGGCAAGGGACUAAGUAUCGCUACACCAUAGAUUUCAAAGUGAUGAAGAAAAGUAGAACUUUUUAACAUGAAGUCUCAAUGAUAAAGCAUGUGAAAAUCAUUUCUUCUGCAAAAAUUUUCACUUAAAAAGCGUCCCAAAGGACAUAGAUGUGGAAACAUGACUGCUACAUGAACCAGUGUAUACAUACCGUAAUGUUCAACUUCAGACGUCAAAAAUAAUUGAGUCACAGUCAUGGUGUGGGAAUGAAAUGGACUAUAUCCACUCUGUUUAAGCAAGACAAGCCUUAUUCAUUAAAAAAUGCAUGUUAUCACUUGGAAGGGAAGUAAAACCCUAGAAGGAAGAAAAGAUAUACGUGGCAGAAACUUUGAAAUUUCUCUCCUCUAUUAAUAGUUUGAGUACAACAUGGACUAAAAGCUUCUAUCACUAUGAAGGGAUCUAAACCUCCCUCUCAGAUAAUCUAUUUCUACAAAUGUAGCCGAUGUUACUAAUCAAGAAGUUGUAGGAAUCCACCCAUUACCUUGAAUGAAAUUCUGUACUGAAUACGUGUUUAAGUGCUGAGCAGGAAUCUGGCUACUCCAUGUUACUCUUGCAGACAAACUAGCUCCCAAUCCAGAAUUGUUGAAUUCCCCAUAAUAAAGUGUUUUUAAUGCAAAGUCACCACUCCAUGGCAGCCACCCUUGUGGUGUGACAAGAGGCUCCAAGAAGCACCGGAUAAAAACAGUCCUUGAAAACUCCUUCCAUGGCCUCCCCAAGAAGUUCUUGUGUACUUUAGGGUUGCUGUAGUACAACUUCAUGUAGUCGUCGGUGCCAUUGACCACACAAUUUUGGAAAACAAAGCCUGUGGUUUGGGCAGGGUCUGUUCUACCAUGUGCUGUCACAGCGUUGUUCUCCCCUUUUUCUGGUUUGAGUUGCCUGGGGCGGAUUAGGAUGAGGCAGUCUUGGAAGAUUGAAGCGGAGUUGCCAAAGAUGAAGUCCACGUUGCCUUGGAUGUUGCAUGAUUUGUAGAACUGGCGAAGGGAGUGAGCGUAGAGAGUGUCUUGAUUGCCUAAGAAUUCACAGUUCUCAAUCACUGAUAAAUCGCUACCUGAUCUGAAAGCUACAGCUUGGUGGGCAUCAGGACCGGCUGUGUUUUGGAAUGUGAGACCACUGGCCAUGAACCCAUCACCACUCACACCUGUGCCAUGAUCAAACACCAUUCGAUUGAUCAAUAGGACCAACAACGCCUUAGGAGUUAGGAGCAAGGAAACAAAGAAAACAGCGUGCAUGUUGGCUCACGUGUCAGCACCAUAGUGUGGGUCCUACUCGUGAAUUCCCAUACGUAAGUUUCAAACCAACUAACGUCCUAUCAUUCAGCACAAUUUUAAUAAUAACUAAAAUAACCUAUUACUAUGAAUAAUAAAUAAAUAUCAUACGCUUUCUGCGACAUAUAGUGUUCCUACUUCUACAUUUGAUUACUGCCUACCCUACGUGGCUAGAUGCCAUUGGCUAAAAUCAGAAAAGACCAUCGGAAAUUCAAGUAGUCGAUUAAUAUCACCCAAACAACUUACGACUUACCGACAGUGGCUGUGUUGUAGGUGGAAAUUCCAGGCUGGCCCACAUUCAACGAUCCCGUAAUUACCGUUUUACCCAUCCCAUCUCCCAAAAACACCACGUUCUUUUUUUCCAACGGCACCCGAACCGUCUCCUCAUAGACCCCUUCUCGAAUCCGAAUCACGAACUUCCGGUCACCGGCGUUAGCCGGCGCGGCGUCCACCGCUUCCUGCACCGUCUUGUAGCACCCGUUUCCGUCCUUGCACACGGUGGCGUCCGGCGGAAGACCAGUCGGAACUCCACCUUUGACCCCCAAUCCGGAUUCUUCGCCCAACCCGGAAGGCUCCCAGAAGCCGUCUCGCUCCGUUUUGGGGGGCCUCCAGGACCCGAUGUCGUUCCCGAAAAUAUCGUAAGAUGCCAUCAUGCUUAGACCGUUGCUGCUCAGCCCAAGAAGGGAGUCUAAAAACGACAUCGUUUUGUUCACCUGUUGAGUGUCGUUGGCGUACUUCAAAGCCGACCAGCAAUCGUACUGGUAUAGUAGAGCCGCGCUCACCCAGGCCCUCGCGUCCUUGAUCUUCCCAUGUGGCAGAGCCUCCAUCGUCGAUGAGAUCCGGUACUCGGAGUUAUGCAACACCUCCAGGCAGUUCUUCGCCGCCGUCGUCCGAUUCAGGUUCCGUGCGGAUGCGUCCAGGAUGUCCUUUACCAUGGACUGCGCCGUCUUGAGAUUCUCCAAGGAGACCCAUAAGGCUGAUUGGAUGACAUCGAUGGGCUUGGGAUCGGGAGGGACCCGAUCGGAAGCGAUCAGAGAGGCCUCGCAGGUUUCUGGGUAACGCGUAGCGGCGCAGGCCUGGUGGAUCUGGGGAGGAACAGAGGCGGUGGAGGGCUGGGGGGUGAUGGGUUGGGGGAAAUGCGGGAGGGAGUGGCGAGGGCUAUGGUGGUGAGAGGCGGAGGAGAGGGAGAAGAAGAGGAAGAGGGAGAGAAGAGCGAGAAGGAAGAGAGAAGCCAUGGAGAGGAUAAGGAAUUUAGAGAAGGAGUGGGGCUUUAUAGGCUUUCUGGAGUGCAUGAUGAUAGUGGAAAUGGGGUUUGGAUUGUAGCGAAUAUUAGAGAAGAAGAGACUAGGAGGAAUGGAAGUCACGGGUGGCUUCUCACGGGUGUGAAGAUAGAAAUCGGUGAUUCUGUUAUUGGCAGCAUUGACUAGGCGUGGAAUGUAAAGCAGAUAAAACCAAGCCACUUACCACUAGGUCUGUAUUUUGGGUUGUGCCUCAUACCUGCACCACCUACCUCCCUCCCUCCCUCCCUCCCUCCCUCCCUCCCUCUCCCUGACUCAGAACUCACAAAGGGAAAGACCCAACAAUUAGGGGACAGAGGCUGUUUUCCAGAGAACCAUAAACCCGCCCUUUUAAUUGACUUUGUCAAUGCUUUCCCAUCUUUUCUCCUUUCAUCGCUUUCCAACUUAAUGCGCGUAUUUUGGUCAUUUUCAGGUAAAUCAGAGGCUCGUUCGAUCAUACUGUAACCACCAUAUGGAAGGCUUGGAGUCUACGCUACUUGGAUUUUAAUCUGAGUGAGUGAAGGCAAAAUGAAUAUGAGAAGAGAGCAAUUAAAAUUAAGAUAAUGCAAGUUGCAGCUAAUGUAAUUUGUCUAGGAAUUGGAAUGAAAUUGGCCGGUAUAGUUUGGAACAAGAACUAAACCACUACGGAAUCUUGGAUAUCUGAAGUUGUAGAGACAAUCAAGUGAGUCGGUGGCAUACAGUGGAAAGCACACUAAGGUAAGUGAUAUUGUAUUUAAUUGUAAUAUAAAUAAAAUAGUGUGAUUUGCUAUAUGCGUUAUAAGUAUUUUUUUUUUUUAAAAAAAAGAACACCAGCCUACUAGACUUACAACUCACUAGAAUAGAUGAAGAGAUAUGUUUGGUUACUAGGAAAAUAUAAGCAAAAGAAAAUAAAAAUUAAAAAUAAAAUGCCGAGGAAAGUGAAUAUAUAUAUAUAUAUAAAGUUAAUAAAUUAUUUAUUUGUUUUAAAUUUUUUUAUUAUAAGAAUUAAAUAAUUUAAAAACGUAUAAAUUUUUAAUCAGUUUUAAUUAUAUUUGAUUUUUUUUUUUUGCUAUUGUUUUUAUAAGAUCAUAUGAGAAAAUAAUUUUUUAAAUAUUUUUUUAGUACUUUCUAAGAAUCAAUCACGGUGAAUGAGUUUAGAGAGAGAAAUGUUCAUUAUCAGUGGAGUUUCUUGAAUAAUAAAAGUUGCUCCUCAAAACCAAAGUAGGUAUCAAAAGUAAGACCAAGAUAAAUACAGAGUCUUGUUUGUUGGAUUGACUUUUGAAAAAUCAAAAACUCUUUUUCAAACUUGAUAAAACUUUUAUGCUUUUUUGACUAAUUUUGUUGAAAAAUAUAUGCUUUGAAAAAAACUUAAUAUAAAAACCUAGAAAAUAUUGCUUCUUAUAAAAAUUCUAUUUUGAAGUAUUUGAGAAUAUGACCUUUUUUUUCUUUGAAUGUUAAAAAAAAACAAUUGAAGAAAUUAAAGUCUCUUUUGCUUUGGAUUUGGAGUCAUAUUUAGGUGGUAUUUGUUUUUUGAUUGAAUAGAAAAAUCUAAAAUAUUUGAUUUUUUUUAUUCAACUAAAAAUAGUCUGUUGACAUCAUCUAACAUAACUAAAAUAAAUUGGUUAUCAAUAAGUUCAGUUUAAUUAUAUUGAUUGAUAUCAACAAGUUACUUUUAACUGAAUAAAGAAACUAAAAUAUUUUAACUUUUUCUAUUCAGUCAAAAAACAAACGUCAUCUUCCUGUUUUACUUUUUGAUGACUCCAAGGCCAUAUUUUGGAAUUCCUUCUCUAGCCUUUUUGCUAGCACAAUGUUAAAUUGAAGAAGGGAGGUCGAUUAAGCUGACUUUAAUUGUUACGGCAAGUUUAGUGACCCAAGCAAUGAUAGGAGAGUCUUCAUCUUCGAUUUCAACUGCUACUACAAUUCGUAGCAAAUCCAUUGAAUCAACUAAUUAUAGUAAAAUUGAAGGAAAAUAAUUUUUCUUAUGGAAGCAUCAAGUAGGUUGUAGGAUUAAGGGUUAUAAAAGGGAAGGUUUCAUUUUUUGAGACUCGAUUUGAUGAAUUCAACCUUUAAUAUUGCCCCAUCAAAGUCAGGAUCAACUUCUGAUGUCUUGGCUUUUUGCUUGCAUGAGUCUUGGUUUUCUCCUACAACUUGUCAGUUUUGAUACUGUUGAGGAUGUUUGGAGCAUUUUAUUUAUUCGAAUAAAUAAUGUAGCAAUCACUCUUUAGAAUUUGUGUUUUAUUAUGAUAAUUCAAUUUCUUACUGGUUUGAACUAUGACAUAAGAGGCUAGGUCACCCAGCACCAAAAUUUGUUACUAGAGUUUUCUCACAUUAUAAAAUACAAUUUCCCUUGUAAAAGAGAAAACAUGGACAAUGCUAGAACUUGGACUUACCUUGCUUACUUAGGCAUCAAUGCCACUCACACUAGAAGAUGGCUACAUCCCUUAGCUACGGCCGCAUGUAGUAGCUAGUGUGACUUGAUGAUCUAAAGUUGUGGCCACUAUCGCAUUCUUUUCACGACUAAAGGCUUUGUAUGUUUGCGACUAAUCAUAACAGCAACCAUAAGCGUGUAGAAAUAGAAAUGCUAACAGCAUAGUGUUAGACAUGUGCUACGGCCAGUGGAUGGCUGCCACUAUAGGUUGUGAUGUGGACACAGUCACGCUUGAUCAUGACUAUAAGGUCAUUUAUAUAUAUAUGAAUAAAUCAAAGCAAUUACAAAGCAUUCGUUCAUCUGUUUUUACAUUUAUAAUCAAAAUACCCUAUUUAGAGUUGUUACAAAUGAUCGAAUUAGUCAUAAAUGAAUCCCUAUUGAGCUCACAUUGUCAAAAUCAGUUGGUAUUUGUUGGCAAAGAAGCAAGUUUGAGAUUCAUGAAUCAUUCAAACAUCUACAUUGAACAAGAAGAUUCAUGAAAGUGUUGUCAUUAGAGAAAUUCAAAAUUGAUUUAAUAACUUCAUGCUAUUCAUAAAUCAUUAACAUAGUAUCGUGUCUGCGAGUCAAAGUCAUUAGCAAAGUCGCCAUUCCCCUUUGAUAGCGUGGCCGUAAGUUUGUUGAGUGAAAGCGAUUUUUUCAUGACUUUAAGUUUUGGUCACAAUUUAUUGGGAGAAAAGCAUAUACUGAUCAGCUGUAUGAAUGGCCAUUAAAGCAAAAACAUGUUGCUUCAACAGUGACUGUGCCACACAUUCAACCAAACCAUGUAUGGAGACCGUAAUGGCAGGCUACUAAGAAUCGCUACAUCAUAGAUUUCAAAGUAAUGAAGAAAAGUAGAACUUUAUAACAUAAAGUCCAAAUGAUAAAGCAUGCUACAAAUUUUUUCAACUUGAAAAGCGUCCUAAAGGACAUAGAUGUGGAAACGUGACUGCUACAUGAACCAGUGUAUACAUAUCAUACUGUUCAACUUCAGAUAUAAAAAAUAAUUGAGUCAUGGUCAUGGUGUGGGAAUGAAAUGGACUAUAUCCACUCUGUUUAAGCAAGACAAGUAUUAUUCAUUAAAAAAUGCAUGUUAACACUUGGAAGGGAAGUAAAACCCUAAAAGGAAGAAAAGAUAUACGUGGCAGAAACUUUGAAAUUUCUCUCCUCUAUUAAUAGUUUGAGUACAACAUGGACUAAAAGCUUCUAUCUCUGUGAAGGGAUCUAAACCUCCCUCUCAGAUGAAUCUAUUUCUACAAAUGUGGCCGGUGUUACUAAUCAAGAAGUUGUAGGAAUCCACUCAUUACCUUGAAUGAAAUUCUGUACCGAGUACAUGUUUAUGUGCUGAGCAGGAAUCUGGCUACUCCAUGUUACUCUUGCAGACAAAUUAGCUCCCAAUCCAGAAUUGUUGAAUUCCCCAUAAUAAAGUGUUUCUAAUGCAAAGUCACCACUCCAUGGCAGCCACCCUUGUGGUGUCACAAGAGCCUCCAACAAACACUGGAUAAAAACAGUCCUUGAAAACUCCUUCCAUGGCCUCCCCAAGAAGUUCUUGUGUACUUUAGGGUUGCUGUAGUACAACUUCAUGUAGUCGUCGGUGCCAUUGACCACACAAUUUUGGAAAACAAAGCCUGUGGUUUGGGCAGGGUCUGUUCGACUAUGUGCUGUUACAGCGUUGUUCUCCCCGUUUUCUGGGUUGAGUUGCCUGGGGCGGAUUAGGAUGAGGCAGUCUUGGAAGAUUGAAGCGGAGUUGCCAAAGAUGAAGUCCACGUUGCCUUGGAUGUUGCAUGAUUUGUAGAACUGGCGAAGGGAUUCAGCGUAGAGAGUGUCUUGAUUGCCUAAGAAUUCACAGUUCUCAAUCACUGAUAAAUCGCUACCUGAUCUGAAAGCUACAGCUUGGUGGGCGUCAGGACCGGCUGUGUUUUGGAAUGUGAGACCACUAGCCAUGAACCCAUCACCACUUACACCUGUGCCAUGAUCAACAGUUAAUCAAUAUGACCCACAACGCCUUAGGAGUUAGGAGCAAGGAAACAAAGAAAACAGCGUGCAUGUUGUCUCACGUGUCAGCACUAUAGUGUGGGUCCUACUCGUGAAUUCCCAUACGUAAGUUUCAAACCAACUAACGUCCUAUAAUUUCAGACCCUUCAGGAUUUUAAUAAUAAAAUAACCUAUUACUAUGUAAUAAUAAUUAAAUAUCACACGCUUUCUCUAUCAUAGUUGGGCUAAAAUAUAGUGUUCCUACUUCUACAUUUGAUUAAUGGAUACCAUACGUGUCCAGAUUUCAUUGGCUCAAAUCAGAAAAGACUCAACUUCGGAAAUUCAAGCAGUCACCGUCCAAUUAAUAUCACACAAACAACUUACGACUUACCGACAGUCGCUGUGUUGUAGGUGGAAAUUCCAGGCUGGCCCACAUUCAACGAUCCCGUAAUUACCGUUUUACCCAUCCCAUCUCCCAAAAACACCACGUUCUUUUUUUCCAACGGCACCCGAACCGUCUCCUCAUAGACCCCUUCUCGGAUCCGAAUCACGAACUUUCGAUCUCCGGCUUUAGCCGGCGCGGCGUCCACCGCUUCCUGCACCGUCUUGUAGCACCCGUUGCCGCCCUUGCACACCAUGGCGUCUGGUCGAAGACCAGUCGGAACUCCGCCUUUGAACCCUAAUCCGGAUCCUUCGCUCGACCCGGAAGGCUCCCAGAAGCCGUCCCGCUCUGUUUUGGGGGGCCUCCAGGACCCGAUGUCGUUCCCGAAAAUAUCGUAAGAUGCCAUCAUGCUUAGACCGUUGCUGCUUAGCCCAAGGAGGGAAUCUAAAAACGAUAUCGUUUUGUUCACCUGUUGAGUGUCGUUGACGAACGUCAACGCUGACCAGCAAGCGUACUGGUAUAGUAGAGCCGCGCUCAUCCAGGUCCUCGCGUCCUUGAUCUUCCCAUGUGGCAGAGCCUCCAUUGUCGAUAAGAUCCGGUACUCGGAGUUAUGCAACACCUCCAGGCAGUUCUUCGCCGCCGUCGUCCGAUUCUGGUUCCCUGCGGAUGCGUCCAGGAUGUCCUUCACCAUGGACUGCGCCGUCUUGAGAUUCUCCAAGGAGACCCAUAAGGCUGAUAGGAUGACAUCGAUGGGCUUGGGGUCGGGAGGGACCCGAUUGGAUGCGAUCAGAGAGGCGUCGCAGGUUUCUGGGUAACGCGUAGCGGCGCAGGCCUGGUGGAUCUGGGGAGGAACAGAGGCGGUGGAGGGCCUGGGGGUGAUGGGUUGGGGGAAAUGCGGGGGGGAGUGGCGAGGGCUAUGGUGGUGAGAGGCGGAGGAGAGGGAGAAGAAGAGGAGGAAGGAGAGAAGAGCGAGAAGGAGGAUAGAAGCCACGGAGAGGAUAAGGACUUUAGAGGAGUGGGGUUUUAUAGGGUUUCUGAAGUGCAUGAUGAUAGUGGAAAUGGGGUUUGGAUUGUAGAGAAUAUUAGAGAAGAAGAGAUUGGGAGGAAUGGAAGUCACGGGUGGCCUCUCACGGUUGUUAAGAUAGCAGUGGUUGAUUCUGUGGUUGGUAGCAUUAAUUGGGCGUGGAAUGUAAAGCAGGUAAAGCCAAGCCACUUACCACCAGGUC
Molecule: long non-coding RNA, 48470 nt
Filed under: Vitis vinifera (wine grape)
Lineage: Eukaryota; Viridiplantae; Streptophyta; Magnoliopsida; Vitales; Vitaceae
Description: long non-coding RNA (VVIN_LNC001232)
Source: RNAcentral